RNAcentral lists this long non-coding RNA (46132 nucleotides) under Medicago truncatula (barrel medic). Its description in RNAcentral is "long non-coding RNA (MTRU_LNC000349)". The record is from RNAcentral. Lineage: Eukaryota; Viridiplantae; Streptophyta; Magnoliopsida; Fabales; Fabaceae.
CAUUUUGAACCUUCGGUAUGUAUGUACUGAAAGCACAUUUUCAAAUUUUGGUUAUUUGUUUUAAUAGUUUGAACUUUUGAUGCUAAAACUAUUUGAACCUUCAUGUUACCCACCCCCCCUCCCCCAUGAAACUAUUAGUUUCUUUACAGGCAUGAUGUAAACAGAGUUGCUAAUACAUCUUUUUGAAAAAAUGCCACUUGAAUAAAAAGAUUAGAUAUCAUACUCUCAGAUUAGCAAUUACAAAUUGAUUGUGGUUCAUGUUCAAGAACUUUAGGGCAGUCAAAUAUGUAGUAAGCAAACCUAUUGUGUUUAAACUGAGAAUAUUAUAAAUGAAGGUUUUACAAUGUGCUGAAUUGAACAAGAACAUGAUUAGUAGGUGUGAACUGAAUUAAGCAUGAACUGUAGUCUCAAAACUAUGAAUAAGCAAAUGCAUGAACUGAAUUAAGCAAAACUAUUGAAAAUGUGCCUCUGGUAUGUACAUAUCGAAGGUUCAAAAUGUGAAAAAUAAAAAUGAACUACCAGUAUCUAUAUACCGGAGGCUUCUGUAUGUAAGUUCUAGAUGUCUUAUAAAGGUUAUUUUUGUAUUUUUAGGGGGCCUUAAAAGCAAUCCACAUGCUUCUUUGUCUCUCCAACUCAUAAUAGGUCCCCUUUCUCUUCUCUGCCUCCCUAAAAACCUUCCCCAAACCCUUUCUCCAUUUCUUAUUCUCAUUUCAAAUUCCUUCAAAAUUCAAACACUCUUGAGAUCAAUUUCACAUCUAAGAAAAGUAAUCUGAUCAUACAAAUGCUAUGUGAUAAUAUUUUGGAGUUAGUGUUAGUGCUCUAGGAAAGGAGACUCUAUGAGGUAAAACUUUGUGAUUCAUGGAAUAUAAAGUUGAUUGGAUGAGUAGUGGAGCUAUUAUAGAUAGUAAAAUUUUAGUUUCUCAUUAGUCCCUUUCAAACACUGAAUAUAAUAAAUUAGGGGUUUUAUCUUAUUCUUUUAUUUAUUGGUAAUGUGAUCUUAAGUAGGUUUUAACAAGAGCUAAUUAGGUGAAUUGAUUAAUUGUUCAUGGAUGAUGAAAUUUGUGCUCUAAUAAUGAUGAUAUGUUUGAAUGUAUGAAGUUAUGGAUAAUUGAAUUGUUGUUAGUUGAAUUUUAUGUUGAGAAAAUGGUAUAUGUUGAAAAUAUGCUUAAUUGGUUGAAUUAUGAUUUGUUGUUGAGAAAUGAGAUGUUGUUGGUGGUUUGGUGAAUUGGUCCAAAUGUCAAUUGUUUUCAUGUUUGUUGAGUCUUUGUGAGUCUUAUUAGUCAUAUUGACCUGUAAACAUCAUUUGGAAACACAUUUGGGCGUUGAGGGAUCAAAAUUGGGGAUUUUGGGUGAAGAGGGUUGAAACCGGUAACAUUUUCUGCAGAACUGUGAACGUUCGCUUAAGGGUUCGCUUAAGCGACCAGUAAGCAAGCAUUCAUAGUGUUUUUCUGGGCUCAGGUCGCUUAAGCGACCUGAGAGCGAGCUGGUAAGCGUACUUUCUGGUAGCUUCUGGAACUCGUUUGCUUAAGCGAACCAUGUGGUCGCUUAAGUGAACUGAUGAGCGACCAGAAAGCGUACACUUCUGGUGGCUACUGGAACUCGUUCGCUUAAGCGAACCAGGUGGUCGCUUAAGCGAACAAGCCCAGUUUCAGCCACCUUAAUCUUUUGUUCCGGGUCUUAGGGGGCCAAUCCGAGCUUUGUAAAAUGAUUCUUUCAACAUGUUUAACUACUGUUUAAUCCCCUAAACCUACUGGAACACGAUUAGCUUGCCUAAACUUGAGAUUUUCCAUUUGAGUCUUAACUUGGAAGUUUUUGGGACUACUAGAAAAAUUCAAUACAUAGACGGGCUAAAUCUGUCUCUAAAAAACUAAAAAUCCGUCUCUAACCACUUUGGUGACGGAACUAGAGACGGAAAUAGAUUCGUGGCUGUUUUCCUCGUCUCUAAAGCAAUUAGAGACGGAUUUAGUGAUUCCGUCUCUAUUAGAGACAGAAAUAUUCCGUCAUAGCAUUAUUAAUUCCGUCUCUAAAGUUGGAUUAUGAGAAACAAAAUUCUGUCUCUGUGGCUUGGAUUAUUCCGUGACAAUAGAGACAGACUAUAAAUUCCGUCUCUAAUUUAAUUAUUUAAAAAAAAAAAAAAAAAAAAGACUGAAUUUAGUAUUUUAUGCUAUUCACUAUUUGAAAAGACACAAAUUUUGAUCUACAUAUUAAUGUUAGUCAACAGUCAUGAGAAAAGUUCUCUAAAAAAAAUACAAGCAGUUUGCAACUAACUUAAUUAUUGAAAGUAAAACUAACCAUUACCUAAUAAUAAUAUUAAUACGAUAAUAAAUCUAAAACUUUCCAAUCUCCAAAUUUGUGUUAUUGUCCCCUCCUUCAUUGUCAUUAUCAUUAUCUCAAGCUCUUGACAUAUGCUUGAGAAUAACACCUAAGCUGAAAAGGUAUAACUUCCACCAACCUGCAAAAUUUAAAAUAUAUGUUGGUCUCAAGCUUGAACUAAUAUUGCUAGAAUUUCAUGACAUAUCCAAAAAUUCAAAUAGUGAAAACCAAAUAGCAAGUAAGAAAUACAAGUUACAGGGAUUACAUUUUUCUUUAUUAUCCUAUAAGUCAUAUUUUAAAAACAGUGCAUAUAGUAACAUGAAUGCAAAAGAAGCAAAGAUCUUACAAUCACUCUUAUCCUUGUUUAGACAUAGACUUAUGUUAUUCUACUAACAUGGUUUCAUGCUCAAAUAACCAAAUCGUAAAAGCAAGUAGUUGUUAAAAAAAAUUCCAUCAAGCAGGUAAAUUUCUUGGGGGUUUUGGGUUGGAGCCAAGUGAAAUUCGAUUUUGGAGCCUGUGAAAAUGAGAUAUGGCCCCAGCGAAUGGAUAAAAAGUUAUUUUUAAUUAAUUAAAAAAAGAAAUUUGACCUGUGUGAGACGGAAUUGGAGACAGAAUAAUUUUGUGACGGUACAAUCCGUCUCUAAAGUCUGUCUCGAUGUUAAAAAUAAAAUUCCGUCUCUGUUCAUUAUAUCGGUCUCAACUUCCGUCUCUAUCAGAGACGGAAUAAAAUCUGUCUCUAAAUUCCGUCGGUAUAUGAAACUUUUCUAGUAGUGUCUAGACUUUUGUCGAAAACAAACUUUUGCAAACAAUGGAACUUACAAGCUGAACCUACAGCUCAUAUAGACUUAGGUAAGACUUGUAAGAGUAGUCAAACAUCUUAAUCAUGUCAAAAGUGAUAUUUCGGGUGGGAAUGUGAAAGAUUGUGAAAUUGGAUUUUUCGUACGAACUUAUGUUAUUCUUGGAUUAAUGUAUAAUAGUCUGGAGGCGGCUUAAGUUCACGACCAUAUGAUUGAUUAAGGUUGUUUGAGAACUUUCAAUUUGUCUAUGUUGUUUGUCUUGGGAAUUAUCAAUGUUGACCGGUUGCCACUUGAUACGGUUUUUAGUCAGAAAUGUUCCUUAAGUCAAUUGUCUUAAGAUUUAUCGUGACUAUUCUUAUAUGACUAAGUGAGGUUGUAUGAAUGAAUGAUUGUAUGUUGGAUAUGAUGAAUAUCAUGAGAUGUGUAUGUUCUCUUACUUAGAAUGUAAGAAAUGUUUGAAAUGGUAAAACUAUAUGAGAUAGUUAAUGUUGAAUGACAUUGUUGAUUAUUGAUGAUCAUGUUGAUGUUGUGAUAAUGAAUCUUAUGAUUUGAUUGUGUAUGGACAUGUUUUCUUGAUAAUGCAAAUGUUGUGGAGAUGAUCAAUAUAUUUGGAAGUUGUCCUCUAUAUUGUGGUGAAAAUUGUGGAUUGAUGUCGCAUUAUCAAGUCUUUGUUACAUGUCCAUGCAUCAUAGUCGUGUUGCGAUUUGAUAUGAUAUUUUGUUGUAUCAUUGGGCUCCGGCCUUGCAGAGACCUUGAUGGUCUAGAUAUAGGUGACGACCUUGAAGUGAAAUGGUACCACAUGCAUAUAUGUGGCGGGCUAGGUGCACAUCAUGCAUGAGUCUUAUUGGUGAAAUGUGAUUGGUGAUUGUGCAUGAAUGAAUGUGAUUUGAUGACUGUUCAUGACACAUGUGAUUGGUGAUUAAUUGAUGUGAAAUAUUGGAAUGAUGGUAUAUGUAUAUAUAUGUGAAUAUUAUUAUUGAUCAAGUACAUGAUGUUUAAAUUGAAUUGUUCAUGUUAAUUGUUAUGUGGAUUAUGAUGAUGUAAUACUUACCCCCAGUGGUUUUGACCGCCUACCUGUCUGUAUGGAUGAGUAGACGUUGUGCAUGAUUAGUUGCUCUUGUGAGUUCUUUGUGCUUGGUGGAUAUCGGGAGCUAUCUCCGGUAUCGGUGUUGUAGAGUCUAGGAUGACUCUGAUCUAGGCGUCCGUCGUAGUCUAGAUUAUUUGUUUUGGAUUAUUUGUUCAUGAUUGGAGAUUAACCCGUAUGUUGGGAUUUUGAGAUUCAUCUAUGUUGAUGUAAUAAUUUGAUUCAUGACAUGUAUAUUUGGAGUACUCUAGUUUAUAUUCCGUUGCGACUGUUGAGAUUUAUAUGCAUGCAUGUUGAGUUUGAAUUUUGAAUGAUGUCAUAGCACCUAUUUCUUGAAUAAAUAUAUUAUUCGCAUGUUUUUUUGCUUUAAUAGAAAUAGGGUGUUACAUUUAUCAAAAUAGGGAACACACCCUUUGAAUACUUUUCUCGUCAACAUUAUUUAUUGUCAAAGUCAUCGAUGUUAAUAUAUAUUAUAUUUGAGGCUACUUAUGAUUUAUAAAGUAUUGGAUUUGAAAUGGAGAUUUGAUUGCACAUAUUGAGUGUACUAGUAUUCAUAUGUUCCUCAAACUAGUUUUGACUAGUUUUGAUAUAUUGUAAAGCAUGGUUUUGAAAUUUGUGUUUUUCGAAGAUUUAAUUUGAUAUUUAUAUGUACUUGAUUUGGAUUGGAUUUGGAUUUGGACUUAUGAUUAUAAGUAGUAAAUUUUCAAUUGAGUUUUGACGGUAAAUAUUUUGACAUAAGUUUCGAUUUUUUGUGAAAGAUGGUUUUAGAUAUGUAUUUUGAGAAUUGUGUUUUGAAAAUCGCACUUAUAAUAACGACGAACUAGGUGCACCUAGUAUGUGAUUUCAGUUAGGUAGAGUUACUGCAUUAGAUGAAAAUGCCCCUAUGGAAAGGUCACCAUUAGGAGGAGAGGGCCAUCAAUGAGAUUUUAAUUGCCUAACUGAAAAUUAUUUACGUUUUGUUUUGAGUCGAGAGAAAAGAGCUAUCCAUUAGAUGGAGCUACCACUAAGAGAAAUACCACUCUUAGUAAGAAAGAACUAUCAAUGAGAUGGAGCUAGUUCUCGAUUCACCAAAUUUUGAUUAUUUUCACUAAAGUUGAAUUUAUGUACUUUAUUUAAAGUUGAUUAUUUUGGUAUGAUUAAAUUGAAUAUGAUUUUAUAUUCUAUUUGAAGUUGAUUAUUUUGAUUCCUUUUCAUCAUAUCCGAUUUUUAUAUUCUAAGAUAAUUUGAUGAGUUUGAUUCCUUUUUCAUUAUACUCGAUUUAUAUAUUUCCUUUAUAGUUAUUGAUUUGGUUUCACCUCUUUACGACAUUGGAAUUUUGAUAUAGUUUUAUUUGGUUUGAUAAAUUUACAAAGUUUUAUGAAUUUUCAUGGUAUACUUCGUGGUGGUUAUUGUCUCUCACUAAGUCUUUGUGACUUACUUGUUAAUCUUCUUUUUUUUUUUCUUUAUUUGCAAGCAGUUGAGUAGUAAAUUGAUAGCAGACUCGGUUUUUGGAGUAUCGCUUUUGGUAGGCCUCUUGGUUGGCGUCACUUUUGUCUAUAUAUACUACAGUGUCAAUUGAUGUAUCUACAACUAUUUGGUAGUCUAAGAUGUUUUAUUCUGAGUUGUAUAAAUAUAAAAAAAUGUUAUUUGAGAUACUGGCUGAUAAAACAAGUUUUUAAAACAUGAUUCAUAUCUUGGAAAUGUUGAAAAUACAAAGGAAACACUGUCGAAAUUUUAGUGAAUAUUUUUUUAAAGUGAAAUCCAAAUUGGAAUUGUUUUUAAUUUAUAGUUUGCCAAGUUGAAGCAAUAGGCUUGCCGGGCUAGAAUGUUCUAGUUCGUGCGCCGAUCACGAUUAGUGUUUUUGUGUCGUGAGAGAUUGAACCGUAGAAUUGACCAUUGCUGCUAAACAAUGAGGUAAGGGGAGAUUUUUAUUCAGUCUAAGGGUAGUAUAUUUCUAUGGGUAGCGAGAAAUCAUUAACCUCUGGUGUUUUUUUUAUUUAUUCUUGUAAUUAUCCUUGUAUUCACUCACAUACAUAUGUCAAAAAGUAGAUUAAUAUUUAAAGAAUCGGAUUAUUAGGUUAAGUAAAAUGAAUAAAGUUCUAAAUAUGUUGUUAUAGUCAGCUAAAAAUAGUGAUGAACCAAAUAGAAACAAUGAUAAGUUUCGUUCUUAAGGUUUCUCUCAAUUGAAUAUGAAACUUCCUCCUCCACUUUUAUUUCCUGCACAAAUGUAAGAGAGAGAAAAAUAAAUGUAACCAGAUUUAAUUUUGUUUACAUACAUUUGAAAUUACAUAAAUGAUUUACAUCAAGGAAAGAGAAUUUAUAAAGCUCGACUAAAGGAGUUAAAUCACAAAAUCAUGUUUCCUCAAAAACAUCUAAAGCUCGACUAAAGGAGUUAAAUCACAAAAUCAUGUUUCCUCAUUGGUCAACUCGCUAUGGCGAGUGACUUGCUCGAUGUGGCGAGCAACUUCUGGGUUUACUCGCGAGGCGAGGGAUGAAUGCUCACGAAGCGAGCGAUGAUCUUCAUCCCUCGCGAGGCGAGGCAUGCUGCUCGCGAGGGCGAGCGAUGAAUUUCAGCUCAGACAGAUUGCAGUUUGUCUCAAAAAUUCACCAAAUCCCAUGGUUCUAACCUUAAAACUGAUUCCAAUUAUCAUCCUAUGGAUUAUCUAAGGUCUGUACACAUUUUCUACAUCAAUCUAACACUUUUUCAUCAUCUAAUCAUCAAUUCCUCACUUUUAACCUAAUUCUUCAAUUCCCAAAACUACACCUCUAACAUGUUAAAUCUAAUUAUCAGAAUCAUAGACUUAAGAAGAUUGAAUGCUAGUCUCACCCUUACCUUAAGAAAAUCGAUCAGCAGCUCUCUUGGUUCUUCUCUCCUUUUGUUCUCCCUUUUCUCCAAAACUGGUUGUACGUGAAAAUAAUUUUAAACCUAGUUUCUCCCAUUUAUCACUUCCCAUCUAUUUUAUCUUAUUUCCUCUAAUUCCACAAAACUCUCUAAAUUCACAAAACAGCCCCCAUCUCAAUAUUUAUUCUAUUUUCAAAUCUUAUUCUAUUAAAUACUAAAAUAAGCCACUUAAUUAAUAAAUCACAUAAUCAUAUAAAAAUAUUCUAAACCUAUUAAAACAAACAAAUAAAUCAAAUAAUUCAAAGAGGGCGUUAGAUGAACUACUAUUACAAGAUUAUUCUUCGGUAUUUCCCAAAAUGAGAUCUCAAUUUUUCUGUUCAUCUUCCAUUCUACCCAUUUCUUAUCUAACCAGGAACAAUACUAUCCCACUAAAACUUCAGGAUUUAGAUUAAUGUAAUUAAAAUUCAUACUAAUUUUUUUAGAAUAAAUAUAAUCAAACAAAAUUGAGAAAACCCUAACGCCACAACAAUGGAGAAAACCCUAACGAAAUUGGCUAUGAGAGUUGGUGAAUCUUUAUGAUUCUAUUGUCUUAAUGAGAGCAAUAAUCAUAACCAAAAUUAGAAUAGGAAGAAUCAAUAGAUUUUUGGAGGAAAAGAAGAAUAAGGGAUUGCAGAUUAAAACUUGUGAUUCUUCGUCAUUUGAAAGGGGAAAAAAGGCAUUGAAAGAUAAUAGGUUAAAUAUAAAACUAGUUGAAUUGUGGAGUUUUGAACUUUUAUGAGCACAUUAGAACAUUAGAUGAACCAAAAGGAGAUGAAGAAAAACCACAAAGAACAAAAGUAGACGAGAGAUUGACAUAGGAGGUGAGGCUUACGUGCAGUAAUAAGUGAAAUAAUGAGAGCCUUUGGAUUAAAUGAGAUAAAGGUUUGUGAUUUGGUUUCAACGAAUUUGUUGACACCUGGUGUCAACGGAUUCUGACUCAUAAUAAUAAUAAUAAUAAUAAUUUUUUUAUUUUUUUGAAGAAACAAAAAUGGAAUAUAUUACUAUAAACACUGUAAUUGUUGAAGCACAAGACGUGCCACAACAAUCACAUAAAGAUUACAACACAGUCAAAAUUACAUCAAGGAUAGUCAAUGCCCAUACAUAGAAGCGGGCUCGACCACCAACUAUGUGUACCAAAAAUAAAGACUAUGUUACUAGCUUUCAACCACCACAAGGUAUUUGAUUUUACUUUAUCUAACAAUAGUGGUAUAGAACUUUGAUGAUUCUGAAAUAAUCUAUCAUUCCGUUCUUUCCAUAAAACCGAGACACAUUGAAACCAAAUCAAAUGAAAUAAUGAUCGACGCGAUUUCAAACCACCUGCAUAUUCAAUAAAUUGCACAAAGUGAUCUGAGAUGGUAUUAGAAUCAACCCCGUCGACACCAAGCCAAGCCCGCACCAAAGGCCACAAUGAACCAAAAAUUGGACAAGACAAAAAUAAAUGAUUCACAUCUUCAACCUGCCCGCAUCCCGUUACACAAAACCGAUUUUCCACAGCUAUAAUCCCACGUUCCACCAAAUUUGAUUUAGUAGGUAAACGAUCCCUCAACAGUCGCCAAGCAAGUAUAGAAACUUUUAAAGGAACCUGUUUAUGCCAAAUUAACUCCAUAUUUUGAUGAACAUGAGGUUGUUCCUGUGAUGUCAACAAAUCAUAUACACCACGAACAGUAUAACCAGAAAUCUGAUCCGGCAACCACAUCCACCUGUCUGUUUCUGUUUCCUGCAAAGUGACAUGUCAGUAAUAAAUUGUUGCACAUAACACUUCUGUCCUUUACAAUUGGAGUAUGUUGAAAGGUGCUUUAAAACCAACGUAAGUGUACAUAAUAUUGAAAUCAUGUUAGUUAGAAAAAUGAUGAUUAUUUUAAUUGGAUGCAGGAACCCUUCAAAUGAUGAUAAUCGAUCAAUUUUAAAUCAUGUUAGUUAAGAUUAUUUUAAUUAUUUUAAUUAAAAUAAUUAUUGCUAGCAUAAGCAGGAACCCUUUCAAAAAAGAUUAUUACUUUUUUAAAGGAAAAAAAAUAUUUUUAUUAUUGCUAGCAUAUGCAAACAAAGAUUUCUUAGCAUUGUAACCAAAAAAAAUAUGCAAACAAAGAUAUGUUUGUACGAUUUGGAUUAGGUAAGAUAUAAAAAGGCAUUUGAUCAAAAAAUUUAAAUACUCAAGGUUUGGUUUGGAUGACUUCAAAGAAAUAUCCUGAUAUGAUUAAUUAUUUGGUCAAGUUUAGAUCGAUUUUCAGAUAACCAAAUUAUAAUUUCAUGAAGAUGUUAUCUAUUAAAAUUAAUAUUAUAACAACACAGUAAAAUCAUAGAUUUGAUGCAAAAUAUAACAAUUAAUGUACUAAAAAUUAAAAUUGAAAAUUGAUUAAAUUUAACUAAUAAGUAUUACAAAAAAUAUUAAAAUACAAUAAAUAAAAAAUUAAUCAAUUACGAGAAGAGUGUAAUAUUCUAUCAAAAAAUAAUAGAGUAAAUUACUAGGUUAGAUGUUAUGUCCUCAUAGUUUUUGUUCUUUUAUCAAAAAAAAAUCUUUUCUAAUAGAGUAAAUUACACCCCCUCCCAUGAGAGAUUAUGAUAUUACAUUUUCCUCCCCUCUUAUGAUUAAAUAUACAACUUAAUCCAUUUUUUUGGUAGUGUCAACUUAGUCCAUUUAACUUAACAUUUUUUUUAAGGAUCCAUUUAACUUAACAUUGUUAAUGAAGUUUUUUUCUUUCUAAAUAUUAUUUAAUAAGUUUAAAUUGACAAUAAUAUCCUUUCUUUCAGUCUAAUAUUUUACUCUUCAUUUCAUUAACUUCUUCUACCUAUCGCAAGCCCUAACUUUUAUUCUUUAACGUUUCUUACUAAUCUGGUGGCUAGUGCAUAAAGGUUGAAACUUCUAUACAAGUGUUAUUUUUUUUAUGCCCAAUUUCUUCCAUCUUUGACUUUGCCUCUUCCUUUUUGCCCUUUCUCUUUUUAUUAAUCGACUGAAUCUAUUAAUUCUUAGGAUCAAAUUUUUUGAAUCUAUAAAUCUUGUUUUUGGGAGCAUGAUAAAGAUCGAUGCAUCAUGCAUUUCAUUCAUGAUAUUAUAUGUCCUUGUAUUCACUCACAUACAUAUGUCAAAAAGUAGAUUAAUAUUUAAAGAAUCCGAUUAUUAGGUUAAGUAAAAUGAAUAAAGUUCUAAAUAUGUUGUUAUAGUCAACUAAAAAUAGUGAUGAACCAAAUAGAAACAAUGAUAAGUUUCGUUCUUAAGGUUUCUCUCAAUUGAAUAUGAAACUUCCUCCUCCACUUUUAUUUCCUGCACAAAUGUAAGAGAGAGAAAAAUAAAUGUAACCAGAUUUAAUUUUGUUUACAUACAUUUGAAAUUACAUAAAUGAUUUACAUCAAGGAAAGAGAAAAAAGCAAUGACAGAGAGUUGUUAAUAAAGGCUAUUUUAGUAAUACUAAAUUUAUUUAACGGUGGUUAACAUCCAGGUAUAGCGGAAGAAUAAAAAAAUGGAUCAAAAUGUAUCAAAAAUCAUCUUUCAAGGGAGGAUAAUGUGUGUUUCAAAAUAUAUAGAAUGGGAGGGGAAUGUAAAAGCAGCAUCUUUCAAGGGGUGGGAGAUGUAAUUUACUCUUUUUAAUAUAUUAUUACGAGUUUGCAUGCUGAUACAAUGCAUGGUAAGACUUUUAUCUUAUAAUCUUUAUAAUUAUAAAAAAAAAAAAAUUAAUACUCGUGUGUUUAAAUCAGUUAUUAGGGAUAUUGCAUAUUAUAUGUAGAGGUUGGGGUUCGAAUCCCGGAUACCCCACUUCUCCACAGUUAAAUUGUGUGAGCUCUAGCCACUAGGCUACUUGACAAAAAAAAAAUUACUCUUAAACUUACCAAAAAAAAUUAUCAAUUAAAAAAUAUUUGUUCAAUUUAAUUAAUAUAGAAACAAUCUACAAUAAUAGUAACAUUAUUAUAUACUAUAAAAAAAACUUUAUUUUUAGACUUUUAUGUAAAAAAUUACUGUAUUUUUUUAUAAGAUUGUUUCUUUCAGUUUUACCCUACGCUUAAUUACCUUUUACAAUUUUAUUAUUCCUUACCAAAAUCCGCAAAAAGAAGAGCACAUUAAUGAUCGUGAUCGUUUAUUAUUUCAUUUUAUUAUUCCUACAUCUUAGAAAUUCAAAAGUCUAGAGUCUUUAUUGUAUUGUAUUGUGAACACCACUGAUUGUAUAUCAAGUGUUCAAGUCAAACUUAUUUCAUUGUAUUUUUGUUUGAUCAGAAGACUCUUGCCUGCGUGCUUGAGUAUUAGAAGACUCUUGCUUAGUGCUUGAGCAUUGGAAGACUCUUGCGUAUGUGCUUGAGCAUUUUUGAGAAGUCUCAUACUUAGAGAGUAUUGAGCAUUUGUAAUCUUUGUGAUUAUAGUGAAAUCUCCUUGGAAGUGCAAGGGGGACUGGACUACUUCCGAUUUGUGGAAGGAACCAGGAUAACUGCUUGUGUCUUGCUUUUCUUUUCUCUGCUUUGAUCUUUUCCGCUGCAUAUCUGAUUCUGAUCAUUACAUCAGAAGCAUUCUCAAAUUGCUUCUGAAGUAUUAUCAGAAGAAGUAUUUUUUUUGAGAGAAAAAGAAAACACAAUUCAACCCCCCCCCCCCCCCCCCCCCCCUUCUUGUGUUUUUCUCACCUUCAAUUGGUAUCAGAGCUUGCUCUAUUAUCAUAAGCACUUAACCAUGUGACAGAUCAAGAUCCAAGAAAAACAUGUCUGGAGGAGAGGAAUCAACUACAUCCUUAAAAUACACUAGUGUCAAACAUGACUAUGAUACUGCUGAAAGGAAAUCAGAUUCUGGAAAAGCUCCAAAGUUCAAUGGAGAUCCAGAAGAGUUUUCAUGGUGGAAAACCAAUAUGUAUAGCUAUAUCAUGGGAUUGGAUGAAGAACUAUGGGAUAUUCUUGAAGAUGGAGUUGAUGAUCUGGAUUUGGAUGAAGAAGGAGUUGUUAUAGACAGAAGAAUACACACUCCUGCUCAGAAGAAGACUUACAAAAAGCAUCACAAGAUCAGAGGGAUUAUUGUUGCUUCUAUUCCUCGUACUGAAUACAUGAAGAUGAGUGAUAAAUCCACUGCUAAGGCAAUGUUUGCAUCACUCUGUGGCAACUACGAAGGAAGCAAGAAGGUCAGAGAAGCAAAAGCCCUAAUGCUAGGUCAUCAGUAUGAGCUGUUCAAAAUGAAGGAUGAUGAGAGUAUAGAGGAGAUGUACUCAAGAUUUCAAACUUUAGUAUCUGGACUGCAAAUACUGAAGAAGAGCUAUGUCACUUCUAAUCAUGUUAGUAAGAUUCUGAGAAGCUUGCCUUCUAGAUGGAGACCCAAAGUAACUGCUAUUGAGGAAGCUAAGGAUCUAAACACUUUGAGUGUUGAAGAUCUUGUCAGUUCCCUCAAAGUGCAUGAAAUGAGUCUGAAUGAGCAUGAGUCCUCUAAGAAGAGUAAAUCUAUUGUUCUACCAUCUAAAGGAAAGUCUUCCAAAUCUUCUAAAGCUUACAAGGCCAGUGAAUCUGAAGAAGAAUCACCUGAUGAAGAUUCUGAUGAAGAUCAUUCUGUGAAGAUGGCUAUGCUGUCUAACAAGUUUGAGUAUUCUGCAAGGAAACAUAAGAAAUUUUUGAGCAAGAGGAAUGGCUACAAGAACUCCAAGAAAGAAGAUCAGAAGGGGAGCUUCAACUGUAAGAAGCCUGGUCAUUUCAUUGCUGAUUGCCCUGAUCUUCAGAAGGAGAAGUCUAAAAGCAGACCCAAGAAACCAAGCUUCAGCUCCAGUAAAUUCAGAAAGCAAAUUAAAAAGAGCUUGAUGGCGACCUGGGAAGAUUUGGAUAGUGAAUCUGGUUCUGAUAAAGAAGAAGCAGAUGAUGAUGCAAAAGCAGCCAUGGGGUUAGUGGCAACAGUAUCAUCAGAAGCAGUAUCAGAAUCUGAAUCAGAUUUAGAAUUGAAAAUGAGGUAUAUUCCAAGAUUCCCAGACAAGAACUUGUUGAUUCUCUAAAAGAACUCUUAUCACUAUUUGAACACAGAACCAAUGAGUUGUCAGAUUUAAAAGAAAAAUAUGUUGAUUUAAUGAAACAACAAGAAACAACUCUAUUGGAACUGAAAGCUUCUGAAGAAGAACUCAAAGGGUUUAACUUCAUAUCAACAACAUAUGAAGAUAGACUCAAGAUUCUUUGUCAGAAGCUACAAGAAAAAUGUGAUAAAGGUUCAGGCAAUAAACAUGAAAUUGCCUUGGAUGAUUUUAUUAUGGCUGGCAUAGACAAAAGCAAAGUUGCUUCUAUGAUCUACAGCACAUACAAAAACAAUGGCAAAGGGAUUCAAUGUUCUGAGGAGAAAUCCAAAGAGUACAGUCUCAAGAGCUACUGUGAUUGUAUCAAGGAUGGAUUGAAAUCCACCUUUGUCCCUGAAGGUACUGAUGCUGUAACUGCUGUUCAGUCAGAACCUGAAGCUUUUGGUUCUAAGGCUAAGAUUACAUCAAAGCCAGAAAACCUCAAGUCUAAGGUUAUGACAAAAUCUGAUCCUGAGACUCAAAAGAUUAAAAUUCUGAAAAGAUCAGAACCUGUUCCUCAGAGUCUGAUUAAACCAGAAUCUAAAAUCCCAAAGCCAAAGGAUCAGAAGAACAAAGCAGUUACUGCUUCUGAGAAAACAAUACCCAAAGGUGUUAAACCUAAAGUCUUGAAUGAUCAGAAGCUACUCAGCACUCACCCCAAGGUACAAGGGAGGAAAAGUAAAACCUCCAGAACUAACCCAAAAGGACCCAUGAAGAUAUGGGUACCUAAAUCUGAAUUGAUUAAAACUGCAGGUGUGCCUAAGGGCAAGAGAGAAACAAAAGUCAUGGUACCUAGACAGCGGAUGUUCAAGGCAUAUGACUGGAGAGAAAGAUUUGUUCCUUACCCUUACCAUGAAAGAUGGAGGAGAAGUGAAGUUUGGUGGCAACCCAAACUGGAAAAAUCAUUGGUACAGGUACUAUUGGUAAUUCCUCCAUUUCAAUUAAUAAUGUGUGGCUUGUAGAUGGUCUGAAGCAUAACCUAUUGAGCAUUAGUCAAUUUUGUGACAAUGAGUAUGAUGUCAUGUUCAGUAAGACCAACUGCACACUAGUCAACAAGGAUGACAAAUCCAUUACAUUUAAGGGAAAGAGAGUUAAGAAUGUCUAUAAAAUUAAUUUCUCUGAUCUGGCUGAUCAGAAGGUAGUUUGCCUUCUGUCAAUGAAUGAUAAAAGUGGGUUUGGCAUAGAAGGUUUGGACAUGCUAAUUGGAGAUUAAUUUGUAAAAUUAGCAAGUUACAACUUGUCAAAGGAUUGCCCAACAUUGAUUAUCAUUCAGAUGCACUUUGUGGUGCAUGUUAGAAAGGGAAAAUUGUGAAAAGUACUUUCAAAUCCAAAGACAUUGUAUCAACCUCCAGACCCUUAGAAUUACUCCAUAUUGAUCUUUUUGGACCAGUUAACACUGCAUCCUUAUAUGGAUGUAAAUAUGGAUUAGUCAUUGUUGAUGAUUACAACAUAUGGACUUGGGUAAAAUUCAUUAAAAGUAAAGAUUAUGCAUGUGAAGUGUUUAGCAGCUUCUGCACUCAAAUACAAUCUGAAAAAGAAUUGAAAAUUUUGAAAGUCAGAAGUGAUCGUGGUGGAGAAUUUGAAAAUGAGCCAUUUGAAUCUUUUUGUGAAAAACAUGGGAUUCUCCAUGAAUUUUCUUCUCCUAGAACUCCACAACAAAAUGGGGUUGUAGAGAGAAAGAACAGAACUUUACAAGAAAUGGCCAGAACCAUGAUCCAUGAAAACAAUUUAGCUAAACAUUUUUAGGCAGAAGCAGUUAAUACUUCAUGUUAUAUUCAAAAUAGGAUCUAUAUCAGACCUAUGUUGGAGAAAACUGCAUAUGAACUCUUUAAAGGAAGAAGACCCAAUAUCUCUUACUUUCAUCAGUUUGGAUGUACUUGUUACAUUCUAAACACUAAAGACUAUCUGAAGAAAUUUGAUGCCAAGGCUCAAAGAGGAAUCUUUUUAGGUUACUCUGAAAGGUCAAAGGCGUACAGAGUGUAUAAUUCAGAAACACAUUGUAUUGAAGAAUCUAUGCACGUUAAAUUUGAUGAUAGAGAGCCUGGAAGUAAAACUCCAGAGCAAAGUGAAAGUAAUGCAGGUACAACUGAUUCUGAAGAUGCAUCAGAAUCUGAUCAACCUUCUGAUUCUGAAAAAAAUUCAGAAACUGAAUCAAGUCCAGAAGCUGAACCUAUUCCAGAAGCUGAGUCUAUUUCAGAAGCAGAACCUAGUCCAGUAGUACAGAAUGAAAAUGCUUCUGACGACAUUCAAGAUAACACUCAGCAGGUUAUUCAACCAAAAUUCAAGCAUAAAUCUUCACAUCCUGAGGAGCUAAUCAUUGGAAGCAGAGAUAGUCCUAGAAGAACAAGAUCACACUUCAGACAAGAAGAAUCUUUGAUAGGAUUGCUUUCAAUAAUUGAGCCUAAAAUUGUUGAAGAAGCUCUCUCAGAUGAUGGUUGGAUAUUAGCUAUGCAAGAAGAGCUAAAUCAGUUUCAAAGAAAUGAUGUGUGGGAUCUGGUACCCAAACCUUUUCAGAAGAACAUUAUUGGAACAAAAUGGGUAUUCAGAAACAAGCUGAAUGAACAAGGAGAGGUAACCAGAAACAAGGCUAGACUUGUUGCACAAGGAUACAGUCAACAAGAAGGCAUUGAUUACACUGAAACAUUUGCUCCAGUUGCAAGAUUGGAAGCAAUCAGGUUACUUCUAUCCUACGCAAUUAAUCAUGGUAUAAUAUUAUAUCAAAUGGAUGUCAAGAGUGCUUUUCUUAAUGGUGUCAUUGAAGAAUAAGUGUAUGUCAAACAACCUCCUGGGUUUGAGGAUCUUAAGCAUCCUGACCAUGUUUAUAAACUUAAGAAAUCACUAUAUGGCUUGAAACAAGCUCCCAGAGCUUGGUAUGAUAGACUAAGUAAUUUCUUAAUUAAAAAUGAUUUUGAAAGAGGACAAUUUGACACAACACUCUUCAGAAGGACUCUUAAGAAAGAUAUUCUGAUUGUACAAAUAUAUGUUGAUGAUAUAAUAUUUGGUUCUACUAAUGCAUCUCUUUGCAAAGAAUUUUCUAAGUUAAUGCAUGAUGAAUUUGAAAUGAGCAUGAUGGGAGAAUUGAAAUUCUUUCUUAGAAUUCAAAUCAACCAAAGCAAAGAAGGAGUAUAUGUUCAUCAAACAAAAUAUACAAAGGAGCUUCUGAAGAAGUUCAAGCUAGAAGAUUGUAAAGUGAUGAACACUCCAAUGCAUACAACCUGCACCUUAAGCAAAGAAGAUACUGGAACUGUAGUGGACCAGAAGUUAUACAGAGGUAUGAUUGGUUCUCUGUUAUACCUCACUGCAUCUAGACCUGAUAUUUUAUUCAGUGUAUGCUUAUGUGCAAGAUUUCAAUCAGAUCCUAGAUAAUCUCAUUUAACUACAGUUAAGAGAAUCUUCAGGUAUAUGAAAGGAACAACUAAUCUUGGACUCCUGUAUAGGAAAUCCCUAGAUUACAAGUUGGUUGGAUUCUGUGAUGCUGAUUAUGCUGGUGACAUGAUUGAAAGAAAAUCAACCAAUGGAAAUUGUCAAUUCCUAAGAGAGAAUCUAAUAUCCUGGGCAAGCAAAAGACAAGCAACUAUUGCUAUUCCUACAGCAGAAGCAGAAUACGUUUCAGCUGCAAGUUGUUGCACACAACUACUUUGGAUGAAACAUCAGUUGGAAGAUUAUCAGAUUAAUGCUAACAGUAUUCCCAUCUUUUGUGAUAAUACUGCUGCUAUUUGUUUUUCAAAGAAUCCAAUUCUACAUUCUAGAGUCAAGCAUAUAGAGAUCAAACACCACUUUAUCAGAGACUAUGUUCAAAAAGGAAUUUUAGAUAUACAAUUCAUUGAUACUGAGCAUCAAUGGGCUGAUAUAUUUACAAAGCCUUUAUCUGUUCAAAGAUUUGAUUUUAUAAAGAAAAAUUUGAACAUGCACUUUGUGUCUGAUUAAAAAUUUUGCUUGUCUCUGAAUAAGAAGUUUGGUUCUGAAGUCCAUUCAGAAGCAUCUGGUCCAUCAGAAGCUCUUAACUGAGGUUCUGAGGAAAAUGUGCUUCUGAAGAUGACGUCAGCUCUAAAACUUCAGAAGCGGUAUUCUUUGCUUCUGAAUAGCAAGGCUAGUGGGAUCGUUGGCAGUUACUUUUUGUAACAGCUGUCCCAUUACCCAAAGGUUAGUUUUCUGAAAAGUUUCUGACGUGGUCUAUUUGUAUUGGAGUAUAACAAAAAGGGCAAUGAUGUUUUAUUUGCUUUUAAACGUACUAACACGCGCCCCCAAUUUGUCAUUAAUGCUAUGUUUGUUUGUCUCUUUUGAAUUGCAAACGUUUUAAUAAAAACACUUAAACAAACACACACUACUCACUUCACAACUCACACUUUCAUUUCAUCUCAAACCUUCUCUGCUAAGAAACUCUCAAACCCUAGAAACCCUUUUCAUCUUCAAUCAAUCUAAUGGCAUCUUCUAGCUCAGUUCCGUCUAUCAGAAUCAACACCAAUCAAUCAUAUGUUCUAAAGGAAAGAACUAUGACUGUACCCUUGGAUAGAUUGGACGUUCAAGUGGAAUCUUCCAUCGAUUUUGGUUCGUUGAAAAGGAAUGGGAUGGACAUUGCUGAUUAUUUUGCCGCUCAGCAUAUGAUGCAAUACGUUAGUAUGCUGAAUGGUCCUUCUUAAAUGAAUCUGGUGAAAGACUUUUGGGUUAGAGCAGAAGUGUUCGACAGAAAAGCUGCUGAAGAAGAAGAAUCUGAGAUGGUAAAGAAGAACCUUAAGCUGAAAGGGAAAUCAAGAACAGAAAUGGGUUUGAAACCGUUUGAAGGAACGGAGAUAAGGUCUGCUGUGAUGGGAAUGGAGAUCACUAUUACUACAGACAUCAUUGCAAGAGUAUGCAGAUGUGAAAACGCUGGUUUAUAUCAGGUGGAUGCUGUUAAAAGCCAGUGGGAAGACAAGGUCAAUGAAGUCCUGUUUCAAGGAAAUGCAAAGGGAAAAUCUUCAGAACUAUCACCUGUUCACAAGGUUUUCAAGAAAAUUCUGUCAGAAUGCAUUUUCCAGAAGGGAGGAGGUACAUAUUAUCCAUCUUUGGAUCACAAGGUAGUUUUGUACUGCCUUGCAACUUAUCAAAGAAUAAAUCUGCCAAAGUACAUCCUUCAUCACAUGUGCUGGGCUCUGAAGGAAAGCCAAAAGAAUGGAAGAAGGCAGAUUCCCUUUGGAAGGCUACUCUCUGAAAUUUUUGUUCAAGGGAAGCUUCUGAAGUAUCUCAGAGAAACAGGAGUAUCUUCAGAUGAAGAGCUGGCAACUGUUGUUGGAAAAAUCAUUAAUGGAAAGACUCUGAAGUCUAUGAAGCUAACUGAUAAGCUAGUCACUUCCAAAGAGGAUUUGGCUGUAGAAACUGUUCAAUCAGAUCUAAUGAUGGAUUUCCCCUCAAUCUCUAAAGAGGAUAAUCCUGAGGUUCUGUAUCAGUUCAUCAAAGCUCACUUUGAGCUUACUGGUACGAUCAUCAGUGUUGCAUCUAUUCCUGACAAGAUUGGAGGAGCACCUCUCAAAGUUAAAGGGAAGAGGUCAAGAAAAUCUGAUAAGGAUGAAGUUGCAGCAUCCAAACCCAAGAAAGCUAAAACUGCCAAGACUGAAAGCUCUAAUGUUUCUGCUUCUGAAGAAGUUUCUGCUUCUGAAGAAGUUCCUGCUUCUGAAGAAGUUGUUCAGAAGCAAAGAAACAAAAAGCCUGAGGUUCAAGCUGAUGCUAGGCAAGCUGCUCUUCAAACCAUCAGGGACAAGAAAGCAAGGAGUUUAAAGACUGCUCAAGAGCGAAUGAAGGAAGCUGCUGAACAGUUAGAAGCUGAGAGUGAUGAUGAGCCAAGACCAAAGAAGGCUAAGACUGCUGAACCAAUAGAAAUGCCUUGUUUCAGACCUACUGAUGAACAACUGCAAGAUGCUAGGGAGUAUGCUGCUUCUGAGAUAGCAAAGAGGAAGCAAAUGAGAAAGCUGUUUGAAAAACAAAGAGAUGAACAGCUCAAGGCAGCUGGGUAUGAGCUUGCUCCUGAGAAGGCUGCUGUGAUAGCUACUUUAACUGCUGAAUUGGAAGAGGAAGCUGUCAAGGAAGGAGUAAAAUUGUUAUCACAAGCCCUGAAAGGAAAGCAUGCUUCAGGAGCUACUUCAUCAGAACCAGCAUCAAAAGCUUCAGAAGCAGCUCAUCCAGAAGCUCAUUCUUCAGGUAUCCCUUCUAAAGCUAAAGUCAAUACUCAGAUUCCUGACCUUCCAUCUCCACCCUCAUCAUCCUCCACUGACUCAGAUAAUAAACCUCUGAGUCGGCACAUCAGCAAAUUCCUCACAGAUUUCAAACCAACCAAACUAACAGCUGAUGGAAGAAUAGAUUAUGAGCAAACACAAAUUGAAUUCUCUCAAGAGAGGAUAAACAUCUGUGAAAGGUUCAAUUUGCCUGCUGAUCAUUUCUUCCAACCACCCUUAGUUGAACCUGUUAGUAUCCAACACCCUGUAACCAACCAAGAAACCAACCCACAAAAUAACCAAACUCCACAAAGAGCCUCUGAGGUAGUUUCAGAAGCAACUACUUCAGAAAUCCCCCAACAACAAGAAUCCUCAACUCUUCACAACGUAGAAAAACAUCUAGGUGGUGAAAUGCAACCAACACCUACAAAGGCCUUUAAAACAGUCCCUGAAAAGACUGUUUUGGAAAACCAACAAACAGAAACCCAAUCUGAAACUCAAACCAUCCCAGAGCAAAUUGUUCCUGAACAUACUGUUCUUGAACAAGGUGCUUCUGACCUAUAGCAAAGUGUUCCUGAACAACAUGUUCAUGAACACAUUGCUUCUGACCAACAAACUACCACUGAACAACCCCAGCCUAACACAGAACAACAACAACCAGAAUCACCAACCAUCAAUCUAGCUUCUCCUGAACAACAAACAGCUUCUGACCAACCUUCUACAUCUCAAACAACCAUUCCUGAACCUUCACCCAUCCCAGACACCAUCCUGGAAUCUGAUUAUAUUGAUGAACAGCUUAUCAGGUUAAGUGAUGCGAUUCAGAGACUGAUUCUUCUCAGAACAGUUCCUGUACCUCUCAUUCACUACCUUGAUCAAUGGAUGGAUCUGAAGAAGGAUUUCAAUGAGUUGCUGGAUCAACUUAGCACAAAGUGCAUCUCAAAUCACUCUGAUAUGCUGAAGAAAAUGUUGGAUGAUAUGCAUGAAGCUGCAAGAGAAAACGAGCUUGAUUAUGUGCCUCUGUUAGCCAACACUCCUUUCUAUCCAGAAGAUGACUACAUUUCAAGGGCUGACAUGAUUUAAGAAGGGUUGAGAAGAAGACUGAGAGCUAGCCAAGAAGAACUCAAGAAGUAGUCUGAGCAGAUUAAGUACUUAAUGGAACAAGUGUCUAAGCUAUUCAAACCUUAGUUGCACACCAAUUUUGCUUGUUUAGAUUUUGUUUUAAGUAUUGAAUUGCUUUGACUAUGUAUUUUGACUUGUUUAUCAUGAAUUUAUCAUUACUUCUGAAUCUAUUGCUAAUUUCUCAUGUUUAUUAUAAUUUUGGCUCUGAUUAUAACUGUUGUAUCUUAAUGUUGUUUGCAUUGAUACACUGAUUCCAGUUUUCCUUUCUUAUUGCUCUGAUACUCUUUCUUUUGUUUUUUUUUUACUUUUUGUUGAUGACAAAAGGGGGAGUAGUUGUAUAGUAUUUUUAGGCUCUGAGCCUCAUUAAAUUAACUUGAUUAAGUUAACUUUUUGAUGAGCUUUGCUCUGAACCAUUUUCUUUAGCUCUAAACCUUCUUUUUAAUACUUCUGAUAUUUCAUUAUCUUGUGCGUAUUUUAUUGAAAUUUAAUUAAUGAGUAUAGAACUCAGGGGGAGCUUACAAACCUCACCUUAAAGAUCUAUUAGACUCUGGGGGAGCUUACAAACCUCUAUCCCGGUAUUCAACUUAUUAAUUAGAUCAACAACAAUUGAACAUUUUAAAUACUAUUGUUUGUCAUCAUCAAAAAGGGGAAGAUUGUUGGAACAAAAUGUGUUUCACAAUGAACCUUAAUGAGUUUUGAUGCUAACAAGGUAUUAAAAAUUGUCAAUUGGUUAUUGCUAAUAAUUGUUCAAAUGUACAGGACCAAAAACUAGUCAAGUAAUUUCAAUAGGUCUUGGAAGAACAAUGGAGAGCAAAGGAAUUCGAAGCAUCUGAAGAAAACUGCGUCUGAAGCUAAAGUGCUUCUGAAGCUGAAGUUCUUCUGAAGUGAUGACGUCAUCAGAAGCAGAAAGUCAUCAGAAGCAAAGUUUUCAUCAGAAGCGAUAUCAUCACCAGAAGCUAUAUUUGAUCCGCAAAUUCAAACUGAAGAUCCAAAGUAGUUGUUUCUCAUUUCAACCUCGUCUAAGAAGAACGAAGAAUUGAAAGGGAGGUAUCAAUGAUCAUUUGAAGUCCAUUGAGUAUUUGUCCUUCGUUAACAGAGUUGACAAAGUACAAGUGUACAACCACUACCUCCACUACUCUGUUUUUGUCCACGCUACAAGACAAGACAACAGCUAUGCCUGCAGAAUUUGUGCCUUCAAGAUGGGAAUGAAUUUGAAGCUAAUUCUUCAAAGGACUACACCCAAAUCAGGCAAAGGAUUACUGGUGAAUGAUCAAAGGAUCUCAACGACUCUUUAGACGUGCUAAUCAUCUCAACGUCUCUUUCACGCCUCUAUAUAAAGGAGUGAAGACUUGAAGAUUGAAGAGAUAGAGAUAUAUACAAGUUAAAAAGCGCCAAAACUCUGUCAAUUUGAUUCUACAAAGCACACUGAAUUUCUGCACUGAUUUGAUACAUCUUAGAAAUUCAAAAGUCUAGAGUCUUUAUUGUAUUGUAUUGUGAACACCACUGAUUGUAUAUCAAGUGUUCAAGUCAAACUUAUUUCAUUGUAUUUUUGUUUGAUCAGAAGACUCUUGCCUGCGUGCUUGAGCAUUAGAAGACUCUUGCUUAGUGCUUGAGCAUUGGAAGACUCUUGCGUGAGUGCUUGAGCAUUUUUGAGAAGUCUCAUACUUAGAGAGUAUUGAGCAUUUGUAAUCUUUGUGAUUAUAGUGAAAUCUCCUUGGAAGUGCAAGGGGGACUGGACUACUUCCGAUUUGUGGAAGGAACCAGGAUAACUGCUUGUGUCUUGCUUUUCUUUUCUUUGCUUUGAACUUUUCCGCUGCAUAUCUGAUUCUGAUCAUUACAUCAGAAGCAUUCCCAAAUUGCUUCUGAAGUAUUAUCAGAAGAAGUAUUUUUUUGAGAGAAAAAGAAAACACAAUUCAACCCCCCCCCCCCCCCCCUUUUUUUUUUGUGUUUUUCUCACCUUCAACUCAAACCCGUCGGAGAAGUAGAUGAGAUUAAAUUUCUGAUCCCCAUUGAAUAUGAGUAGGUAACAUAUAAGUAUAUGAAAGUCGAGGAACGAAAGGUAAACGUAAAAACCUUCUCGAUUACACCCCAUUGUAAUGACUUAUGCAUCCGAGAUCAAACCGAACCAUGAUUCUAUCUUUGAACUUUAUGGGGGAGUCAACACUGGUGUGGACGAGCCUAUUCAACAAAAAUCAACUACACAAAUGAGAAUGAUAUUACAUCUUCUUAAAAUAUUUUAAGUAUAACAAAAUUCUAACCCGUGCGCCUAUCUAAAUAAGUAUUUGAAACAUCGAUUUUUUUACUCUGCAAAAAAAUAUAAUAUAUUUUAGAGACUAAAAAACAAUAGCCUAGCGCCCGUGCAUUGCACGGGUUAACACACUAGUAGUAAUAAUAAAUCUUGUGUUAGAAGGGCUUGUUUCAUGUGAUUAAUUUAUGUAUAUUUUAGGCCAAAUACCUCCAUGGGUCAUUUAAGUUUUAUGUUUGUUUCAGAUAGGUCCUUUAAGUUUCUAAGGUUUUAGAUAGGUCUUGUUUCGAGUUUGUUUCGGAUAAAUCCUUUAAGUUUCUAAGGUUUCGGAUAAGUCAUUUAAGUUUCGAGUUUGUUUCAGAUAGGUCCUUUCUAUCAAAUCAACUUUGGCUUAACGGAUGUUGAUAGAAAUGACCUAUCUGAAAUAAACUCGAAAUUUAAAGGAUCUAUCUGAAACCUUAGAAACUUAAAGGACUUAUCUGAAACAAACUUGAAACUUAAAGGACCUAUCUGAAACAAACUUGAAACUUAAAGGACAUGUUUGAAACCUUAGAAACUUAAAGGAUCUAUCUGAAAUAAACAUGAAACUUAAAGACCAGAAGAGAUAUUUGACCUAUAUUUAUGUUGGCGUUUUUAAAAAUAAUAAUAAUAAUAAAAUGGUACACAUAGCACCUGUCUUUUACAAUUGGAGUCGGUUGAAAAGCGCUUUGAAAAGCAUUGGAGUUUUUUUUUUGACAAAAAAAAAUAUUAUUUUUUUAAAAAAAAAUCCCAAAGCCAAUGAAAAAGUGACAUGUGUCACCUUGUCAUUGGUUCUGGGAUUUUUUUACAAAAAAAUUAAAUAUAUAUUUAAAAAAAAAUUCUCAGAGCCAAUGACAAGGUGACACGUGUCCACACUUAACGUUUUUUAUUAAAACUAACGGAAACCUAACAGAAGGGACCAAAACGAGACUAAAAAAAAACUUAAAAUCCUCAAACAAUCUUUUUUUUAGUUAAGGGACCAAAGCAAUACCAAUUAAAUAGUUAAGAGACUAAAAAAGCAUUUAAGCCAUUAUUUUAAUUAUUGCUAGUAUAUGGAAGGUCAGGAACAAAAUAUGUUUUGAAAGCCUUGAAAACCCAACGGUAGUGCAAACCGGACAUAAUUCCAUUAAUAGUUUCCACAAUAAAAAUGCUUUGCUCAUGCAGAAUCAGAUUGACCAGCACUAAUGGUCAAUCUUCCAUAGUGUAUGAUAGACGAGUGGCUAAUCUGCUGGCACACUACAUUACUAAAAAAACAAAUAUUAGUGAGGAAAAUUUUGUGAGGGAAAACGUGAAAUCCCUCUCUAAUUCCGUCAUUAAAUUUUGCGACUAUGGAAUUUGUGAGAAAUUUCAUUUUUUCCGUCACUAAUUUCCCUCGCUAAUUUUGUUUUUUCUAGUAGUGCUAUCUAGCAAAAUUUUCUCUUUCAAAUCUGGAUUGUGUUUGGAUUGAAGAUGCUGACAGUUGUAUUUAUGUUGUCUUGUAUUGAAAAGGUGUGAAAAUGAGAAAUGAUUCAUUAGAUUGAAAAGUGGUUACAACAUCCUUAUUUAUUAAUGGUUUAAUAGAUGCUUUGGUCCGUUAACUUAUUUUUGGAUUUCAUUUUGGUCCCCUAACUAUAAAGUGUCUCAAUUUGGUCUCAUGAGUCUUCUGCCGUUUACUAUUUUGGUCAUCUCCGUUAGAUUUUAACAUCAAAAUUCUAAGGUGAACCAUAUUUAAAGGUGGUUCACCAUAGAUCGUAUUAAAUUUUUUAAUUUUAACCAUUUGAUUUUUUCUUUAAAAGAGGACCGUUGAAUUAUGUAGGGUCUAUUGUACUUUCCUGUGAACCACUAACACCUAACACUUUUCUCAUUUUCUUCAUCUUCUUCUCUCAUCAUCUUCAUCAAUCCUACCCAGGAAAGCAAAAAAAUCAGAAGCACAAAACUUCAUAUAAAAAAUUCAAACUAAAACAACAAUAAACUUCAUUAAAUUAAAAUACAUAAACCUUCAAAUAGAAUUAAAACCCUGAUUUUUUUCUAAAAAAAUCCAGAAAUCAUCAUCUAUAGCAGCAACAACAUCAAGAAAUCAAAUUCAACCAUUUUUGAUUCUUUUCAUCAUCAUCAUCAUGAAUUAAAAAAAAAUGGAUUUCUCCAAAUUCAGCACAUAAACAGCACAACAACAACAUGGUGCUUUGAAACAACAACAACAUCAUAAAAAAUUUAUCUCUCCUUGUUGCAUGAUUCUAAAUCAAACACAACACCACACCCAACACCGAAUCGCACAAAUUAGAUGGAACAAACCAGAAGCUGAUUAUGUAAAAGAUAAUAGUGAUGCUAAUUUGUCUGAAAUUGAUACAUGGGGAUUAGGGGCAGUAAUUCGAGAGUGACUGUGAUAAACUUGUAAGAAGGGUGUACGAAAGUGUUUCUGUUUCUAGAUAUUACAUGGGAAAGAUAGUGAUGGGCAUUAGAAAUAUGAAAUGUCUUUUUUAUAAAGUGUAAAUUUCGAUUUACUAAGAGGGAUGGGAAUAAAUUGGCUCAUGAGCUAGCCAAAUAUACUUUAGUAUGUUGUGUGGAUGAAAUCUGUUCCAGAUCACAUUAUGUCCAUUUGUAAUGUUGGUUUAAUUCUUUAAUAAAAUGUUCUUUUUAUAAAAUAAAAAAAAAUGUUCCUUGAAUUUUGUAUGAAUAUGAGAAGGGGUGGAAGGAAGAAGAUGAAGAAAGGGAAAAAAUUAUGUGGUGAUGGUUCACUACUGUAUAUAAUGGACCUGCAAUAUAAUGGUUGAAAUUAUAUCAUAAAUAUUUGACAUUAAAAAACAAACGGAGGGGACCAAAAUAGUAAACGACAGAAGAUUUAUAGGACCAAAUUGAGACACUUUAUAGUUAGGGGACCAAAAUGAAAUUCAAAAAUAAGUUAAGGGACCAAAGCAUGUAUUAAGCCUUUAUUAAUUUUGUUAGGUCUGCAGCAAUUUAACCUAAUAUUUUUCCCUUAUUUGCUGUAUUAGGUUAGCAGUAAUUUUACCUAACAAAUUUCAUCUAAAAAAAUGCAUUGCACCAAUUUCAUUCAUAUCCUCUUGCCUUUUUUUUUGACAAUAUUCUGUACACUUAUUUAAUACUAAAAAAAAUGCAUCGCACCAAUUUCAUGUUUUUCUUGGCAAAAUUACACUUUUAGUCCCUUAACUUAAUUUUAGGUAACAGUUUGAUCCUUUAUCUUUUUUUCAUUUCAAUUUUGUCAUUUUUGUUCAUUUUCAUAUACAUUUUUAAGCUUAAAAUUCAUGAUUUUAUUUUCUUAUGGUCUUCCAGUCUUCAAAUCUAUGAUCCUCGUCUAUGUUUGCAUAAGAAUAUUAGAUUUGAAGCUUGAAAAUGUAUACGAAAAUGGACAAAAAGGACCAAAUUGAAAUGAAAAAAAGAUAAAGGACCAAAUUGUUACCUGAAAUUAAGUUAAGGGAUUAAAAGUGUAAUUUUACCUUCUUUUUUUUUUUUACAAUAUUUUGUACACUUUUUUUUUAAGGAAAUAUUUGGUACACUUAUUUUAUUUUUUACAUAGUUUUUCUUUAGUAUUUGAAGUCCAGAAACUAGAGUCUGAAAUCUUGAGUACAUUUGCUCAAUACUUUCAUCAUCUUUCAUUUUGAACAACUCAUACUGAUGAACAAGUAUAAGAGCUUUUGCUUCUCUGACUUUCUUACUACCUUCAUAGUUAGCAUAGAGAGAAGCAAACAUUGACUUAGCAGUGGAUUUGUCAUUCAUCUUCAUAUACUCUGCUUUAGGUAUAGCUUUAACAAGUGCUCCUCUGAUUGUGUGAUGCUUCUUGUAGAAUUUCUUCUGAGCAGGAGUAUGUUUUCUUCUAUCAAUAGUAGCUCCUUCUUCAUUAACGACCAAGUUACCAUACCAUCUUGUAGUAUAUCCCAUAAUUCUUCAUCUAAGCCCAUGACAUGACUAUAGAAGUUGGUCUUCCACCAGGAAAAUUCUUCAGCAUCUCCAUUGAACUUUGGAACUUUUCCAUAGUCAGAUUUCUUUUUGCUACCAUAAUCAUAUGGAAUAGCAUUUCUCGUACUGGAUUCAGGUUCCGCACCAGACAUGUUUUUCUCAGAUCUUUUUCUGUUACACUGUUAAGUGUUUUGACAACAGACCAAGGCUCUAGAUACCAAUUGAAGGUGAGAAAAAACACAAGAAGGGGGGGUUGAAUUGUGUUGGCUUUUUCUUCAUCUUCUUCUCCUAAGCUGAAAACACUGAUCAGAAGCAGAUAGAGUUCUACUUCUAAAGUGAUGUUCAGAACUAGUUGCAGCGGAUAAACAGAGAGAGAGAGAGAGAGAGAGAGAGAGAGAGAGAGGAAAGACACAAAACAAUUUAUACAGGUUCCUUCCUCAAACCGGAAGUCAGUCCUGUCCCCCUUGCAUUUCCAAGGAGAGUUUUCACUAUGUAAUAUCUGAUUACAAUUGCUCACCGCUAAAACUAGCAAGAGACUUCAAAUGCUCAAGCACAACUGCAAGAGACUUUCUAUGCUCCUGAACACAAUCAAGAGACUUCUAAUGGUCAAGCACAACUGCAAGAGACUUCUUAAUUCAAACAGAGACUUCUGAGCAGGAGUAUGUUUUCUUCUAUCAAUAGUAGCUCCUUCUUCAUUAACGACCAAGUUACCAUACCAUCUUGUAGUAUGUCCCAUAAUUCUUCAUCUAAGCCCAUGACAUGACUAUAGAAGUUGGUCUUCCACCAGGAAAAUUCUUCAGCAUCUCCAUUGAACUUUGAAACUUUUCCAUAGUCAGAUUUCUUUUUGCUACCAUAAUCAUAUGGAAUAGCAUUUCUCGUACUGGAUUCAGGUUCCGCACCAGACAUGUUUUUCUCAGAUCUUUUUCUGUUACACUGUUAAGUGUUUUGACAACAGACCAAGGCUCUAGAUACCAAUUGAAGGUGAGAAAAAACACAAGAAGGGGGUUGAAUUGUGUUGGCUUUUUCUUCAUCUUCUUCUCCUAAGCUGAAAACACUGAUCAGAAGCAGAUAGAGUUCUACUUCUAAAGUGAUGUUCAGAACUAGUUGCAGCGGAUAAACAGAGAGAGAGAGAGAGAGAGAGAGAGAGAGAAGAAAGACACAAAACAAUUUAUACAGGUUCUUUCCUCAAACCGGAAGUCAGUCCUGUCCCCCUUGCACUUCCAAGGAGAGUUUUCACUAUGUAAUAUCUGAUUACAAUUGCUCACCGCUAAAACUAGCAAGAGACUUCAAAUGCUCAAGCACAACUGCAAGAGACUUCCUAUGCUCCUGAACACAAUCAAGAGACUUCUAAUGGUCAAGCACAACUGCAAGAGACUUCUUAAUUCAAACAGAAUUACAAAGAAAAAUGUUUGAGGUUGAACACUUGAUAUACAAUAAGUGGUGUUCACAAUACAAAUCAGAUACAUACUCUUAAGACUCUAGAAUUUCUAAGAUAUGAACUUUGAUAAGAAAUUCUAAGUGAACUUUGAGUGAAGAACAAUUUCAGCAGAGUUUUUACACUUGUAAUUCUUGGUAUUGUUCUGUUUAUAACUCUGAGUCUUCACUCCUUUAUAUAGAGGUGUGAAAGAGACGUUGAAUUGUCAGCUUAUUCAAAAUAGAGUCGUUUGAAGCUUUUGAUCAAUCACCAAUGAUAUUUUGCCUGAUGUAGUUAUUGUCCUAUGAAGGAUCAAUUUUAAAUGCAUUCCCAUUGUGAAGGAACAUCGUUGCAGGCAAAGUUGUUUUUCUUGUCUUGUAGCAGAGACAAAACAGAGUAGUGGAGAUAGUGGUUGUACACUUCGUACAAACAUACUUUGUCAACGCUCUUUGAAGAACAAGCAUCCAAUGCCUUCAAAUCCUUUCAAAAUAGUCGUUGCUUCACUUUUUCAGUCUUCUGCAAUGCAUAGACGAGAUUGAACCCAUUGAACAGCUUUUGAAGCUCAAAGUUGUAUCUCCUGAUGAACUGCUGCUUCUGGUGAUUUUCAGAUUCUGAUGAACUUGCUUCUGAUGACGUCACCACUUCAGGAGCACUUUGUCUUCAGGAGCAGUUCUCUUCAGAUGCUUUAAACUUCCUUUUUGUUGAUUCCUUUGCUCUUUAUUAUUCUUCCAAGACCUUUUUAAGAUGUCAAAUUUUGUCUAUAGUCUUGUACACUUGAACAAAUAUUAGCAUAUCCAAUUGACAAAUUUUAAUACCUUGUUAUCAUCAAAACUCUCAAGAGUUAAUAUUAAACACAUUUUAUUCCAACAGUGCGUCUUUGGUUGCUUUCAUGGUUAGCUAAUUCACACAAUAAUCACUAGUUCGAUAAAUUUCCUAACAAAGAUAAUGUUGCGUUUGAUUAAAAAAAAUUAUCACUCUAAUGCUAUUAUUACUAAAUGUUAAUCCUAAUCCUAAAUGCAAAAUUAAAAGGACUGACUCUUAAUAUUAAAUAACUUAGUGUUUACUAGACUUGAUCUAAUGACUUGAGAUAUUAUAACACUUGUUAUGUUUACUAUGACUCUCUAAAAAUGCAAUGCAAAUUAAUUAUGACUUAAACUCCGACUCUAAAAAAUAAAAGGAAAAAUAAAAUGUUAGUUCUUAUAUGAGAAAAGAAAAUAAAAUAAAAAUAAACUAAAUGUAAACAUAAAAAUAAACUAUGUUAAUAACAACUAAAAGAAAAUUAACUAUAUGAUAGACUAGUCUAAAAAAAAUGAUUCAAUUAGGACUAAAUAUUUUUGGUAUUUAUGAAUUUUUAAUUUUUUGGUAUUUUUUUUAUUUUUAAAACAGAAAAUAUAAAAUGCGGAAAAAUAAAUGACAAAAAUUUGAAUGACAGAAGAUGAUGAUGGUUUUAAUGAAUGUGGUGAUGAAGAUGAUGAAGAAGUUAAGGGAAGAAGAUGAAGAAAUGGAAAAUUAAUUAGAUUUUGUUGACUCAUCAUAAGAUAAAAUAGACUUGUGUAAUUCAAUAAUCCUCCUUUAAAAAUAAACCUAAACGGUUUAAAUAUGAUCUAUGGUGGACCACUCUUAAGGUUGGUCCACCAUGAACAUUUGGGAUUAAAGUUAAUAACCAGAGGUUUAUUUGAAUAACGAAGGUUAACUUGAAGGAUCAAAACAUUGAUUUUAUGAGUUAUAAAACCAAACUGAAAACUAAAAUUAAUUAGAUGAUCAAAAGACCAAUUAAACCUAAUUAAAAGACAAUAGCAAUUAGCAACAAUGUCUCAUACAUUGAAAUAACAUAAAAAAGAGGAGUGAUAUUUGUACCAUUAACAUUAGACAAUUUUAAUGACAGCCACUUUUCUCCUCUUGUGAUUGGACCAAAACAAUGGAGAGAGAAAUAAUAAGAGAGAAUAAAAACAUAUAUGAGUAUGAGAGAGGAAGUUAUUUCGAAAGUUAUCAAAAAAUAAUCGUACAAAUAUCAUUUCUCUAAAAAAACAGUUUUUUUAAGGAUAAAAAACAGGAACUUGAUCUUGAUGUUCGUAACUGUCUGUGACAUGAUAUUGUAGAAACAUUGAGUUGUUUGUUAAAAUAUGUCUAAUCAACUAUUUUUUUUUUUUUUAAAAAGAAUGUCUAAUCAACAUCUCACGCUGCUCAUUAAUUAAUAAUUGAGAUGAAAUGUACUAUUAAAACGUGUGAAAUUAGUUUAACAUGUAAAUAUUGCUUUCCUUCAAAAAAAAUGUAAAUAUUGCUUCAAUAUUUUUUUUAAGUGACAUUAUUGAUGGAAUGAUAAUGUAAAGUUAUGAUAAAAUAUACAUAUAUUUCAUUUAUGUUAAAAUAUUAGUUUUGAUUUAGUGCAGAUUCAAUCAAUGACUUUUGCAUCUUCAACAUUGCAGAUCCGAAAACAUGAGUAUUUUGUUGAUUUGAAUAUAGUCAUGUUUGUAGGCAUAUGUGUACUCUGUCGUCUUAUGCUACUAACAUAAAUGUUGUGAUUUUGUUCGCAAAUUCGUCCUUUUUGUUUUUAACAACUUUAAAUUUCUAUUGUAUCGAUAUAUUAUAUCAAUUUGAAUGAAUGAAUAUCGUUUAUUUGUCACAAAAAAAAAACUAUUUAUUACUUUAUCUUUCUUCAAUUCUUUUAAUGUAUUUUUUCCAUAUGAUUAAUGAAAGAUAUUUUUGUAAAAUAAUUCAUAAUUACUCUUUUUUUUAUAGAAUAUUGAUUACAUGUCUUAAUUUAUAUGAGAUUGUUAAAGCAACGUAUAAUUUAGGACAAUUAUAUUAUUAUUAUUAUUAUUAUUAUUAUUAUUAUUAUUAUUAUUAUAGAUAUAGAUAUUUGUUUUAAAGAAUGUUUAUUAUUAUUAUUAUUAUUAUUAUAGAUGAGAUGUACAAUUAGAACAUGUGAAAUUUGUUUAACAUGUAAAAUAUAGCUUCAAUCAUUUUCCAAGUGGUAUGCAUAAUAAACGAGCUAUUUCUCAUAGGUGUUGAGUAUCUAGCUAUAAAUAGGUGAUUAACUAGUUAUAGGAUCAUUCAUUCAACACUAAACUCAUAUAGACAUUGGGGCUUUAAUUUGAUUCUUAAGAUGAGAGCUGCUCUUGCUUUAUUGCCUCUCUUGCUUUUCAUGGUAAGUUACACUUUUCUUGAUCUUAGUUACUAUCAGUAGUAUAGUGCUAUCUUUUUUUUUUUUUUUGUUUAUUUAAUAUUUUUGAAGUUCAAUUAAUAAAACAUUAAUGAUUAUUUUAUCAAUAAUGUAUUUAAGUAUUUUUGGUCAAAUAGCCUAGCUACUAUAGAAAUUUACCUUAAAGGUGAAUAAGUAUUGGUUAUCCAGGGUUCGAACGCCAACCCCAACAAUAUAAGUAUUCGAUGCAAUUGAAACACAGAUGGAAUGAGAAUAAUUAUUUAAUUAUAUAGACGGGAAAAAAAAAUUAAUCAAAGUAAUAAAUUUUUUACAUUUCUUGAUAUGUGUAAUAAGUUAAAAAUGAAAACUAAAAAGUAAUAGAUGUAGUAUUUGCACGAUUUACUUUUUAUUUCAUUCAUCUCAUAAUAUUUGUCAACUAUUCAAAUUCUUUUAAAAAUAUUUUUUGUCAACUUUGCAAAUAAAAUGUAUCCCAAAAACAAAGUCACAUUAAGUUUUCAAGUUUAAUUUAGAUAUUUUUGUAAUUGUAUCCUCUAAUUAAUGCAAUUUUAUGAAAAGUAAAAGUUAAUUUGUGGUUAAUUAUGAUAGUUUCUAAUGUUCAAUAUCAUUUAUCACUUUCAUUAUAAUAACUAACCUCAAGAUGAGCACGUACUAAUGUGCCGUUUUUCCUCUUUUAAAGAUGAAAAUAAUUGAAGUUAUACAUUUUAUUCGAUUAUGUAAAAAAAUUAAAUGAUUUCUUAUAUUGGGUUAGAUUUAUGUCCACAUAGACUUUGUUUUUCUUCUUUCAUCAAUAAACUUGCUCACCUAAUUGAAAACAAAAAAGCAAUGAUAUGAUGGAAAAAGAUUAGGUCAAGGGUAAAAUUAGAAUAAAAAAAAUCUUACAAUAUCAAUUUUGGCAUAUAUUUUGAUCAAACAUUUAUGACAAAUAAGAUUAAAUUAAAUUAUUUUUAGUGUUUACUACUGUUCCUAUUGUAGUAAAAAAAAUUAUACUUAUAUGUAAGUAUAUUUCUUUUUAUCUCUAUGUAUAUUUUUUUCUAAACUUUAUAUGAUAUUAUAUUAUGGUUGUUUUUUGACUCAAUAAUAUAUUGUCCUAAACACGUCGUAAUCUCAAUCAAAAUCGGAGGAGAAGCAAAACCAAAAGGUUGUUUUUUGACACAAUUAUUUUAAAGGAUAUCAACACUACCUUAACUAGGAAGACCAUUGUUUUUUCUUUUGGCUUCUUAUUAUUUUUUUUUUUUCUUCAAUAAAGUUUGUAGCAAUUGUAGAAUCAAGAAAUGAUCUGCGAGAACAUUGGAAACUAGUCAUGAAAGACCAAGAUAUGCCGGAAGAAAUUCAAGGACUCCUCAACGCCAACACUAAAAGUAAUAUCAUGACCAUGGACCAUUAUUCUAAAGGUUCAAAAUUAGGUUGUGAAGAGCUACUUGUUAAAGACACACUAGUCACUAAUGAGAAUGUGUUUGAAGAGAACAUUGAACCAAGACCCAAUAUUUCGUCAUAUGAGAAUGAUGAAACUAACAUUAAGGAAAACAAGAAAGACACCAAAGAUUUUGAAUCAAGGCCCAACAUUUCAGCUUACGGAGAUAAUGACAUUAAUGCUACGGAAAAGAAUGGAGACACUAAAGAUUUUGAACCUAGACCCAACAUUUCAGCUUAUGGAGACAAUGAGAUUGAUGUUAAAGAAAAGAAGGGAGCCGCUAAAGAUUUUGAACCAAGACCCAACAUUUCAGCUUAUGGAGACAAUGAUAUUGAUGUCAAGGAAAAGAAGGGAGCCACUAAAGAUUUUGAACCAAGACCAAACAUUUCAGCUUAUGGAGACAAUGACAUAGAUGUGAAUGAAAAGAAGGGAGCUGCUAAAGAUUUUGAACCACGACCCAACAUUUCAGCUUAUGGAGACAAUGACAUAGAUGUUAAUGAAAAGAAGGGAGCUACUAAAGAUUUUGAACCACGACCCAACAUUUCAGCUUAUGGAGACAAUGAGAUUGAUGUUAAGGAAAAGAAGGGAGCCACUAAAGAUUUUGAACCACGACCAAACAUUUCAGCUUAUGGAGACAAUGACAUAGAUGUGAAUGAAAAGAAGGGAGCUGCUAAAGAUUUUGAACCACGACCCAACAUUUCAGCUUAUGGAGACAAUGACAUAGAUGUUAAUGAAAAGAAGGGAGCUACUAAAGAUUUUGAACCACGACCCAACAUUUCAGCUUAUGGAGACAAUGAGAUUGAUGUUAAGGAAAAGAAGGGAGCCACUAAAGAUUUUGAACCACGACCCAACAUUUCGGCUUAUGGAGAUAACGAGAUUGAUGUUAAGGAAAACAAUGGAGCCACUAAAAUUUUUGAACCAAGACCCAACAUUUCAGCUUAUGAUAACAAUGACAUUGACACUAAGGAAAAGGAGAAAGCUGCCAAAGAUUUUGAACCAAGGCCUAAUAUUUCGGGUUAUGGAAACAACGACAUUGAUGCUGAUAAGAAUGAGGAAUUCACAAACGAUUUUGAACCCAAGCCAAGUGUCACUAAAUCUGAUCAUUAAAUGUAAUAAUGAAAUAGAAUGCAACUUCAAUAUGUGAUGUAACAUAUUUAAAUAAGUCGUUGCAGCUUCAUGUUCAAUGAUUAUGUAGUGUGUGUAUGAUGACAUUUUGAAUAAUUGUAUUAUUGUCAAGUUAAGAGAUUGCUGAUGGAACUUCCUAAUUGUUUACCAAGAAAUGUAAGUAGCCUUGGUGAUUAUAGGGUUUUUCAAUAGAUUAGCAAAGUAUUCAUAAUACAAAGCAAUGGAAAUGUAUAAAUAUUAAAAAUGAUAAAAAAGACUAAACGACUAGUAUUUCUAUAGUCCCUCCAUUCCAAAAUAAGCGUUGUGAUAGAUUUUUUCACAGAUUCAGAAAAGCACUAAAUUAUGAAAGAUGAUGCAAUUUUACAAAAAUUAUCCUAAUAAACAAACUAUUAUUAACCAUUUUCAUAAAUGUACAGUGGAAUAUAAUGACUUGAAAGUGGUGUAGACAAUGUCAAUAUUACUUUAGGAAUAUAAUUGGAAAAUAAAUAAUUAAUUUCACAUUAAAAAGGAAUUGAAAGAUACAACAUCAAUAUAAAUUGUAGAAAAUGACUCACAUUAUAGGCCGCUGAACCAUAGAACUUCCUUGAAAUAUACUAUUUUAUUUUUUUGUUAAAUCAACUCAAUUCUGAUUUUUUUUAUUAAAAAAAUUAGAAAUAUAAAAAAAAAAAAAGAUGGUAAAAUCAAUUAAUUAAAUUGCCUUGUGAGAUGAGGAAGUGUUUCAUAUCAAUGCAAGAAAGACGGCACAAGAACCUGGAUAAAAAGAAUAACAAAACUGAAUUUCCUGAGAACAUCAUCAAAUCUGAUAAAUAUGUCAUGUUAUGCUUCAUAUUACACAAGGGAGGUGCAAACAACUCUAUAGCUCUAUAGAGCUGGGCCUCUCCAAUUUUGGGGCCCAAAAUUAUUAUGUUUUGAUAUAUAAUGCACAAAACAUGUUUAUAUAUACUUGUAGCAUUGUGAAUUUAACAUCAGUGAAGGUGUGGCCCAGUGGUAAAAGAUGCUAGUGUUAUGCGUGUUGAUUGCGGUUUGAUUCCUAUUGAUGGCUACUGUUCACAUUUUACUAUUUUUCAGCAUUACGCUAGUUUAUUUUUCUCUGUUUUACAAAAAGUUUGUAUUUUUUUAGGAGCCAAUUUUUUCAAGAGAGCCGAGCCUCAGAUUUUACAGGGACGUCCCUGCUUACAAUGCAAUAGGAAAUGUUGUAAGUUCAAAAACACAAGAUGUGUAAUUGCUCCACGUAUCAAGAGGAAGAAACGAUAAAUUCUCGAGUACUUGCAUUUUAGGAACUUAUCAUUUACGAAGAUAUCGGAGACACAUGGAAAAAUAGUUUGACUCACAUUAUAGACCAUCUAUCGGGAAUGUAGUGAGAGAUGGAAUAUUCCAGAGUUCCAAACGUUGAAGACAAGUGCUGUUCAUAAGCAUUUUAGGAAGAGACAUCAGUGUAUGAUCCCAACCAAUCGAUACAUGUCGUAGCAGAGACGGGGAAUCACUCCUAAGCAACCAUCGUUGGAUAUAGGAAUCCAUACAUGACCUUGUUUUGUUGAAAUUAUCAGAAAAAUAAAUGGAUAAUGCUUUUCCAACAUGCUUGGUUCGAAACUUGGACUUGGUGCGUGAAUAAUUUGAUUGUAGGCUACACACUAUUGGGUUUGGUGCGUGAAUAAUUUGAUCGGUGGUCUAACUGAAUAGGAUAUGAUACCAUAUUAGUUUAUUCAAUUUUUAUACAUAUUCAGCCAAAAACUAUUUUUCCAUGUGUCUCCGAUAUCUUCGUAAAUGAUAUGUCAAACUAUUAACUGGAACUUUAUAAUUGAAUACAUCAUUUCUAUACUAAAAACUGCAAGGUUCAUAAUUUUAUAGACCUUUCAAGGUUCAAUAGAUCAAAAUAUUGAAACAGAUAAUGUUUGACUCACAGAACAUACACACAGAACAAAAUGGACUGAAGUUUUGUCUUUAUCUUGAACAACAAGCAAUGUUUAAAUUCCAAGAGGAAAAUAAAAUUUAAAAUCUAAAUUUAAAUGAGUGAAACCGCAUAACAGCAACAAUCACACAAACAUACAUUGUAUGUUGGUCUAAGACUAAUGUGAAAUUAUUGGUUAAUGCACCAUUACAACAAACCAGUGUGAUCCCGUGCUAAGCAACCUAACCAGUUGUGCCAUUUUGAAAACAUCCUUCAUCUACUUUGAUCCUUGUUGUGCCAAUGUUCGGCUGCUCCAAGAUUUCUGGCUCUGAAACUAUGGUUGGCUUCGGCUUUGAGGGAUUAGCGUUAAAAAACUCUGCGGAAAAUCUGGAUUCCUCCAUAGCGAUGGACACACCAGAAAGGUGUUUUGUUAAAAAUCAAUUGGUUCCAACCCUUCCAAAUAAACCACAAUGUAACACCGAAUAAAUGGCUAGCCAUGGUAUCCGAGUCUGUGAUCCACUGUGCUAGCCUAAUCUGUUGAGGAACAUGAAUGCCAAGAGCUGAAGGAAACCAAAGUUGUUGUCGACUGUCGUAUAUUUGUGACUGUUGAUACCAAAAACGAAGGCAAAAAAAAACGUAAAUAUCAGUUAGUUGAAUUGAGCAUAACUUCGGAGAGUUAACAGCAUGCAUCAUGGACAAAGAGUACAAUAAAAAAAUAACAUGCAAGUGAAAUAUUAUCAUAAAAUUGAGAAUCAUACACAGAAAUGGAUAACUCGUUGCGAUAUGAGAAUGUGGAAGUGUUUGAAUUGAAUUGCAUGGAUUCUGAAUACAAAAAUUGAGUUUCAUUAUCUUCUCAUUAUUGAUUAAUAAUUUAACAUAGUUUUAGAAUUGUGAAAGUAAAUUUUGGUGUGAGUCUUGUUUUGCUCAAUUUGAUAAUCAUUGCAUGAAAAUUAACCGUUUUCAUAUCAAUUCAAUGAAUCUAGAAUUUUCUCUCGAUUUCUCUCUUUCUUCCUUGUUAAGCUUCUGCAUUUCUUCUACUUUCACCAUGGAUAUGGUGAAGUUUAACAUGCUUCUUGACCUGCAAAUUCAAGAGCUGAGAAUUUUGAUUCCAUUAUUAAAUUUGACUAUGCAUAGUUUGCUUAUUUAUUUCCAAGAGAUAUCACAUCAGUGGCGGAGCCAGAAAAAAAUGUCAGGGUGGGCCACUAAAAUUAACUAUUGAAAAAUUGUUUAAAGUCUCGCAAAUUAGACUCAUAAUUGAAUUAUUUAAAUUUUUCGGGUGGGCCACUACACCAAUUUGCGGGAAUUUGGAUCAACCGAAACCUAAAACCGACAUAAAAUUGUAUAAAAUCUCGCAAAAUAGACCUAUAAUUGAAUUAUUUAAAUUUUCGGGUGGGCCACUACACCACUUUGCAAGAAUUUGGAUCAACCAAAACAUAAAACCGACACAAAAUUGCAUAAAAUCUCGCAAAAUAGACCUAUAAUCAUUUUUUUUACUUUUUCGGAGUGGGCCCACCCCAGCCCUUGAGCUCCGCCACUGUAUCACAUCAUCAUGAGAUAAAUAAGUACUUCACAACGAAACCUACCUCGUCUCUAUUUGAGAUCCAAUUUAUACUAUUAAAUCCUUCUAAGAUCAACUAUUAGAAACACAUGAUAUCGAGACAACAACAUUUGGAUAGAUUAGAAAAAAUAAUUGCUCGUUUAAAUGACCGCCAUUGAGAUUAUGAAUACACACACUUCAUCUAUUCUUUAUAUGUAUAAUAUAAUUCAUAAAAUCCAUAACAAAUCAAUUAUCUCACACACGAAUUGAGAGACCAUCUUUUAAAAUUCCACUUGUUAUUCAUGAGAUUGCUACCUAAGGCAUAUUCACUAAUUUUAAAUCAUAUAUUAAGCGCUUUACUUUCCGAUCUCUUUGCCUCUUAAACACUUCACUUCCCGAUAAUUAAGUAUAGCUGACUCAACGGUAGUUAACUGUUGUCGAUUUGCUCAACGGUAGUUAACUACCACCAAAGAUAUUUGCGUCAUUUCAAUGUAUGUUUAGGAAACUUUUAAUGUGAGAAAAGCAAUUUUUAAUCAUUUAUUGCAUAUGCGAAACCCGUCCCACACGCUAGCUUAUUUAGUGACAUAAAAUUACAAAUAAAAGAAACACUGGAAAUGUAUAUGCAAUAUUGAUACAUUAAAAGACAAUAGAAACAAUGACUCACACAUUGAAAUAACAUAAAAAAAAAAAAAAAACAUCUUUAAAAAAACAAGAUUUUUUUCUCGAAGGAAUAACAAUAUAAUAAUGAUAUUUGAAUAAUCAUUUGAUGACAAUUUUUUGAACAAUAUUUACUUUUUUUUUAUUAGUCAAAAACAUUAAAAAAACAUAAUAUAAAUAUGAAAAAAGAUUUGUCAUAUUAUUUAAAUAUCACUUAUCUUAAAAAAAACAAAAAAAGAACUUUUUUAACGGGAACUUAUACGAGGGAUAAAAAACAGAAACUUGACAUGAUAUUGUAGAAGGUACAUUGAGUGGUUUGUAAAAAGAGAAUUGCUAGGAGCCAAGCAACAGAGCUACUAAUUUCUACUGAAACAUACUUUCCUUCCGAUUUGUUUUUUGAUGAUAAUAAAUAAAAAGUUAAAAAACAAUAAAAAUAAAAAUUGGAUAGCCGGUAGCCAAACAAGUAGGAAUGACGUGGCUGACUGUAGGAGCGUGUGUUGAUGUGGUGGCGCUUGGGUGUCAUAGUUUUUUUGUGUCAGAGGUAACUUUGUGUCUAUCUCUCUCUUAACAACUCAUUCUCUCUCAUCUAAAUAAUUUAUUUUAAUCAUUCUCUUUCAUCUAAAAUAAACUUAUGUCAUCAAUGACACUAAAAAACUAUGACACCCAAGUAUUUUUCGUGUUGAUAAGCGUCUGUCUAGCAGUUCACUUGUAAAAAUGUUGAUCAUUGAAAAAAAUAAAAAAUAUGUCUAAUCAACGUCUCACCCACUACUCUUUAAUUGCUCUUUAAAAUUAUUGAGAUGAGAUGUCCAAUUAAAACGUGAAAUUAUUUUAACACGUAAAAAUUGCUUCAAUAUUUUUUUUUUUAGAGGAAUUGUAUUAUUUGAACAAUCAUUUUAUAGAUAAUUUUUGAAACAAUCAUAAUUUUAUAAAGGAAAAGAGGUAUUGAUACAAAAACUAAAGAGUACUGAUAUAUGUACAACCAUUUGGUACAACUUUGAUGACAACUUUUAUUUACUCUCUUCUCAUUGAUCCAAAACAAUAGAGAGAAAAGAAGAGAGUGAAUAAGAAUAUAAUGUGAGUUGAGAGAUAAAGUUGUCAAAAAAUUGUAAUAAAGUGGUUGUACAAACAUUAUUUCUCAAAAAUAAAAUAAUAGAGAGAAAAUAAAAACAUAAUAUGAGUAUAAUAGAGAAAGUUGUCAUAAAGUUGUCAAAAAAUAGUUGUAAAAAUAUCUUCUUUUUUUUUGAGAAAUGAUAUUUGAACAUCCAUUUACUGACAACUUUUUCUCUCAUUCUCACGUUAUUUUUUAUUUUAUCUCUCUAUUGCUUUGAUUUUCAUACAAAUACUUACUUUUUCUUUCUUUAUCUCAUAAAUUAUCAACUAAAUGGUUGUUCAAAUAACGGUUAUCAUAUUUUUUACCCAGCCAACAUCCAUAACCGACUGAUAUUAUUAAUAUUUACUAUUAAAAUGCAUGUAACAUAAUCCCCGUGAGCUUAGCUCAGUUAGUAGAGAUAUUGUAUUUUAUAUGCAGGAGCUGGGGUUCGAACCCCAGACAAUCCACUUCUCCACAAAUAAAUUGUGUGAGCUCUAGCCAUUAGACUACUUGAACAAAAAAAAAGAAAUGCAUGUAACAUAGUAACACCCACUUGUUUAGUCCUUUCCCAUCUUCUGUCACUUCUUUCUUUGACUCUUUCUUUAGUUUUCUGACUCUUUUAACAGCUAGCUACAUUAUACAUGUUAUAGCUACUUUCAUUUUCAAUGGCUGAGAUCGACCACUACGUGAAACUACAUGAAACAGUUACAACAGGGGAUUCAGGUCAUUUUUAAGGAUGCAGAUUUUCUGCUGUAACAGCAGGUGUGUAUGACAUGUGAGUCAUCCGAUCAAAUUUCAGUGGCUGAGAUUAAAGUGUGUGAAAACUGACAUAACAAUCUAAACUGUUGGAUCCAUGUUCAUUGGCUGAGAUCGACCACUGCGUGAAGCAGUUACAGCAGGGGAACCAGGUCCUUUUUAAGAUGCAGAUUUCCUGCUGUAACAGCAAGUGUUGUAAGACAUGUGAUCCAUCCGAUCAAAUUUCAAUGGCUGGGAUUAAAGUGUGUGAAAACUGACAGAACAAUCUAAACUGUUGGAUCCAUGUUCAAUGUCUGAGAUCGACCACUGCGUGAAACUGCGUGAAGCAGUUACAGCAAGGGAUCCAGGUCCUUUUAAGGAUGCAGAUUUCCUGCUGUAACAGCAGGUGCUGUAAGACAUGUGAGCCAUCCGACCAAAUUUCAGUGGCUGAGAUUAUAGUGUGUGAAAACUGACUGAACAUUCUAAACUGUUGGAUCCAUGUUCAAUGACUGAGAUCGACCACUGCGUAAAGCAGUUACAGCAGGGGAUCCAGGUCCCUAUUUUUAAUUAUUUCUUUUCUCUCUAGUCUCGUUCUCUCUUCAUAUUCAGAAUUUUUUUUCUGACCCUUUUGUCCAAAAAAAAUUCAGGUCUGACCCCCUUUGAAAAAAAAAUUCCAAAAUGACCCACUUUUGGUUUUUUUUUUUUUUUGUCUUUUUGUGCGUUCCCGCCAUUUGAAACGGCGGGACUGGCCGCCGGUUUGACACGUGUGAAACUGGAUGGUUUAUAUAUCAUUUCGUCGGAUAAUUUAUCGGUGAAAAAUAUAUAUUUCGUCGGACAAUAAUAAAUAUAUAUAUUCGUCGGAGAUCCUAAAUUAUCCAAUAAAAAAAACAAAAAUGAAAAACUGGAUGGUUUGUGGUGUGUGAAACUGGUUUUAAAAAGGAUAUAUAUUAUUAUAAUGUACAAGUUGCCCAAAAAAGCAAAAAACGAAGAAAAAAAAAAACUAAAAGUGGGUCAUUUUGGAAUUUUUUUUUUAAAGGGGUCAGACCUAAAAUUUUUUUGGACAAAAGGGUCAGGAUUUUUUUUUUUCUUCUCAUAUUCACUACAGGAACAAUUUUUUAAAAAGAAAAGUAUAAAAUAGAAACAUGAUCUUGAUGUUCGCAAGUUUGACAAACAUUGACUGGUUGUACAAUUGGUUAAACAAUGUCUCACACACCGCUAGUUACUCCAUCAAUCUCAAAUUAUGUCAUUAUAGUAAAAUUUGUAUGUCUUAAAUUAGAUGUCAUUUUAUAAUAUAAAUGUAUCUUUUUCAAUUCUUUUAAUUUAUAUUUUCCAUAUAAUUAAUAAAAGAUGUUUUAGUAAAAUAACUCAUAAUUACGCUCUUUUAAACAAUAUUAAUUGGGUUUUUUAAUUUAUCUGAGAUUGUUAAAAAGAUAUAUAAUUUGAGACAUUGACAUUUUUUUUUUGUCAAGUAGCCACUAGCUUAGUAGCUAGAGCUCACAUAAUUUAAUCGUGGAGAAGUGGAGUGUCUGGUGUUCGAACUCCGGCUCCUGCAUAUAAAAAACAAUAUUUCUACCAACUGAGCUAAGCUCACGAGGAUAUUUGUUGUUAUUAUUUGAGACAUAGAGUGUCUGGGGUUCGAACCUGUCCGAGGUUCGAACCCCGGCCCUGCAUAUAAAAAGCAAUAUUCCUACCAACUGAGCUAAACUCACGGCGAUAUUUGUUGAUAUUAUUAUAUUAUUAUUAUUAGAUUAUUAGAUGUAUAAUUAGAACGUGUGAAAUUUGUUAAACAUGUAAAAUAUAGCUUCAAUCAUUUUCCAAGUGGUAUGCAUAAUAAACGAGCUAUUUCUUAUGGUUGUUGAGUAUCUAGCUAUAAAUAAGUGAUUAACUACUUAUAGGAUCAUUCAUCCAACACUAAACUCAUAUAGACAUUGAGGAUUUGAUUUGAUUCUUAAGAUGAGAACUGCUCUUGCUUUAUUGCCUCUCAUGCUUUUCUUGGUAAGUUACACUUUUCUUGGUCUUAGUUUUUAUUUUUGGUAGUGGUUUCUUGGUCUUAGUUACUAUCAGCAGUAUAGUACCAUCUUUUAUAAAUAAAUAAAAAAAUACUAGUACCCUCUAACCUCUAAAUAUAUACUCAUAUGUUACUUUUUAAUUGUCACUAUUUGUAGUUUCUUUUUAUUUAUUUAUUUAUUAUUUUUUAAGUUCAAUUAACAAAAAUUAAUGAUUAUUUUAUCAUUAAUACAUUUAAGUAUUUGAUGCAAUUGAAACAGGAGGAAUGAGAAUAAUUAUUUAAUAUAUUAACAAAAAAAAAAAAUUUAAUAAAAGUAACAUAAAAUUUACAUUUCUUCAUAUGUGUAAUAAGUUAAAAAUGACAACUAUAAAGUAACAGAUAUUUGCACAAUUUAUUUAUUAUUUCAUUCAUAUUGUCAGCUUUGCAAAUAAAAUGUGUCGGCAAAACAAAGUCAAUUCUAGUUUUCAAUUUUUUUUUUUUAAGAAACAAAGAUGGUAUAUAUUAACAAAAGGCGGUGAAACCUCCUAAGUACAAGAUGUAUUAAGAAGUCACCCCUCAAAGAGUCAAACAAAUGUAGUAAUUACAAUAAACCGGAUGCGUCGAUACCUAAACAAAGCAUAGGAUCUGACCACCACCUUUGAGAACCGUACACAAAUGUGACUUUACUAGCUUUUAGCCACCAUAAAGAGUGCAAUUUUACUUUAUCUGAUAAGCCUUCAAUGGAUGUUUGGGUAUUAUUAAAAAGUCUGUUGUUGCGUUCAUUCCAAACCAUCUACACACAAAAUAACCAAAUGAGCUGCAUAAAGGAUCUACGCGCCCUAAUUUUCAAAUUUAAUUUUGAUAUUCUAUUUAAUUGUACCAUCUAAUCAAUACUACGUCUAUCACGUACAUGUUACUUAUUUUUCAAUUUUCAUUUUAGAUAAUGAGAAUUAAUCAAUGACUAAUAUGGUUAAUUUGGUAAAAUUGUUACUAAUUUCCUUAAUUUGUAAUAAUUAAUUCUAUCUUUCAAUAUAUGAUUUUUCAUUGCACUUUUGUUUAAAAAUAUCGAAUCAUUGUCUACAAUUUUCUAUACGCACUACUAAAGAAUAGAACUGUUUCAUAUUUUCUUUCUUUACUAUAUAUUAAAAAAAUUGUUUUAAUCUCAUCAUUUGCACGCAUGCCUCAAUGCACUCUUAUCUUUCUUAUAUCCUUGAAUUUAUUUAUUUUUUAAUUUUAAAUAUAUCUAUUUUUUCAAAUAUCUUCUAUAUGUUGUGCACUUAAAACAGUUUUUUUUCCUUGCUAAAUCAUACUUUCAACUUGGUUUUGUCCCUAGAUUUAACUAUUACUUAAAACAAUUAUUCAAAUACUUUUUUUUGAAGGAGUUAUUCAAAUACUAUUAUAAAAAUGACAAAAUAGUAAAUAAAUAGUUUAAAUGAAAAGUAAAAAGGGAAAAAUCCAAUCAAAAUUAAUGAAUCCUCUUUAAUUUUCCAAAUUUAUUAUAUAUUAUAGAAGCAUGGGUUUAAUAGAUCAGAAACUACUAUAUUUUCUAAUCAAAUAUUAUUAUUCAAAUGAUUCAUGUUUCUCAAUUGUCGUAUGAUUUCAUUCAAUAAAAAUUAUAUAUAUAUAUAUAUAUAUAUAUAUAUAUAUAUAUAUAUAUAUAUAUAUAUAUAUAUAUAUAUAUAUAUAUAUAUAUAUAUAUAUAUAUAUAUAUAUAUAUAUAUAUAUAUAUAUAUAUAUAUAUAUGGGAUAGGAUCAAAUGACAUCAAGGUGUCAAAUUAAAUUUGACACCAAAUCCUAACCAUUAAUACAAUUUUCAUCUAACGGUUCCCAUCAAUUCAUUAAGUGCUCACAUGCUUUUAAAUGACAUACUUUUUAAUUUUAGAAAUAAUUUAUUCUUUCUCCUCUUGCUUAAUUACUUGAAGGUGUCUUUUAGCAAGUUAUUCUAUGAGCAUUUGUUAAAAGACAUCAACUAAUUUUUAUGAAGAUGUAUUUUAACAAAGUUAUAACUAAAAAGUAGAAAUCACACCUUGAGGUGUGGGUUGCUAAAAGACACAUUCAUGGAUGCGUUCUAGCAAAACCCCAUAUAUAUGAGAUAAGAUCAAAUGACACUAAGGUGUCAAAUUAAAUGUGACACCAAAUUUUAUCCAUUUAAUUUGUUUAAUCCAAAGGCUUAAAACAAUCACUAGAACAAUUAAAACGAUCAAAUAUUUCUUGAUUUCUCUUGCUAUAUCUUUUCUUUAAUGUUUGAUGUUGCAUUUAUGUAUGAAAUUAAUUUCUCAUAUAUGCCCUUCAUUUCAAUUUUUGAGUAUUUCGCUUUCCUUGAUCACUUCUGUUGCUGCAACACUUAGGGUGUGUUUGUUUCAAGUUAUAAUUGUUGAUUCCCGGGAAUAAAAUGAUAGAAAUGUAUAUGCCUAUGUUUGUUACAAGUUUACUAAAAUUUAUUCCUUGGUAUAAAAUGUUCCUGGGAAUAGAAAAAAUUUCCCAAGGAAAAGGGUGGGAAUAAAGUUCCCAUGGAGAUGGGAAUAAAUUCAUAAAUAGUUUACCUAUUAUAAUCCCUAUUUUUAUGGUUCCUAGGAAUAUUAUAAAGCUAACCAAACAUAUUUUUCCUAAAUUCCUUGGAAUAAAAUUCUCAUCUUUAUAUUCCAAGGAAUGUUAUUCCUAGGAAUAAAUUUGGUAAACUUGAAACAAACACACCCUUAGUUUUUUUAAAUCGAUAUUUUGUAUAAACUUUAUUUGCAACAAUGCUAAUGUUCUUUUUUAAUAACACAAGUUUUUUCCGGUAAAUUGGUUGAAAUUUAUUUAUCACUUAAUUUAAUUUUACCAUCCAUCGAUUUGCAUUCACGGUAAAAAAGUGGAGUGAGAUUCAGACACUUAUAACUAUACAGAAAUUGAGAAAAUUAUGUGAUACAAAAAAAAGCAAGAAAUAAUAUAAGUGAUGAUGGACGCAAGAGAAAAUUUUGAAAUUGAAAUGAAGGGCAUAUGUGAGAAAAUAAAUUCAGACUUUAAUGAAAAUACGCCAUUAAAGGAAAGAUAGAGAAAAACAAAUCAAGAAAUAUUUUAUUACAUUAAUUGUUUUAGUGUUUCUUUUAAGCCUUUGGAUUAAACAAAUGAAAUGGAUGAGAUUUGGUGUCAUAUUUAAUUUGACACCUUGGUGUUAUUUGAUCCUAACCCUACAUAUAUUAUGAGAUGUCCCUACUAACUGAACUAACUUAUAGGGACACUCUCUGACUCACACCUUAUCAAAGGCAUCUACAUUUUAUUCUAGUCCCAACACUUAUCAUAUUCCAUAUUUUUUCCUUGUUCUGUUUUUUUUUUUUUUUUUUUUGUAAAUAAUCUUUUCUUGUUCUAUUGAAUAUAAAUAAAAACAGAGAUAUCAUAAUCUUUUUGGGGGAAUCACUUAACACAACUAUUUUAAAAGAUAUCAACACUAGAUUUACUAAGCAUUUCGACCAUUGUUUUUUCUUUUGGCUUAUUAUUGUUUUAUUGCAAUAAAGUUUGUAGCUAUUGUGGAAUCAAGAAAUGAUCUGCGAGAAUAUUGGAAACUAGUCAUGAAAAACCAAGACAUGCCUGAAGAAAUUCAGGGACUCCUUAAUGCCAACAUUAAAAGUAAUCUCAAUACCCAAGAGAAGGCGUUUAAAGAGGAUCUUGAAUCAAGACCCAAUAUUUCAGCAUACGAAAAUGAUGGCACUAACACCAAAGAAAAUAGUAAAGAUGUUAAAGAUUUUGAACCAAGACCCAACAUUUCAGCUUAUGGAGACAAUGACAUUGAAAAUAAGGAAAAGAAAGGUACCGUUAAAGAUUUUGAGCCACGACCCAACAUUUCAGCAUAUGGAGACAAUGCCAUAGAUGUUAAGGAAAAGAAGAAAGUCGUCAAAGAUUUCGAACCAAGACCUAAUAUUUCAGCUUACGAAGACAAUGUCGUUGAUGUUAAAAAAAAGAAGGGAGUCACUAAAGAUUUUGAACCAAGACCCAAUAUUUCAGCUUACGGAGAAAAUGACAGUGAUGUCAAACAAAAGAAGCAAACCAUUAAUGAUUUCGAACCAAGACCCAACAUUUCAGCUUAUGGAGAAAAUGAUAUCGAUGUUAAUGAAAAGAAGGCAGCCGCUAAGGAUUUUGAACCAAGACCCAAUAUUUCGGCUUAUGGAGACGAUGUCAUAGAUGUUAAGGAAAAGAAGAAAGCCGUCAAAGAUUUCGAACCAAGACCUAGUAUUUCAGCUUGCGGAGACAAUGUCAUUGAUGUUAAGAAAAAGAAGGGAGUCACUGAAGAUUUUGAACCAAGACCCAAUAUUUCAACUUAUGGAGAAAAUGACAUUGAUGUCAAAGAAAAGAAGCAAGCCACUAAUGGUUUCAAACCAAGACCAAACAUUUCAGCUUAUGGAAAGAAUGACAUCGAUGUUCAUGAAAAGAAGGCAGCCGGUAAGGAUUUUGAACCACGACCCAACAUUUCGGCUUAUGGAGACAAUGCCAUUGAUGCUAAGGAAAAGAGGGGAGCCACUAAUGAUUUUGAACCAAGACCAAACAUUUCAGCUUAUGGAGACAAUGACAUUGAUGUUAAUAAAAAGGAGGGAGCCAUCAAAGAUUUCGAACCAAGACCCAACAUUUCAGCUUAUGGAGAAAAUGACA